Molecule: long non-coding RNA, 59906 nt
Filed under: Citrus maxima (pomelo)
Lineage: Eukaryota; Viridiplantae; Streptophyta; Magnoliopsida; Sapindales; Rutaceae
Description: long non-coding RNA (CMAX_LNC001232)
Source: RNAcentral
AGUUCGCGGUGACGGAGUACAACAAACGGUCAAAGAGCGCGUUGAAGUUCGAGAGGGUGGAGAAGGCCGAGACUCAGGUGGUUUCCGGCACCAAUUACCGGCUGAUCUUGGUCGUCAAGGACGGACCUUCGACCAAGAAAUUUGUAGCUGUCGUUUGGGAGAAGCCAUGGGAGCAUUUCAAGAGUCUCACCUCGUUUAAGCCUAUGUUUGGGGGAUGGACUCCGAUAGACCCCACGGAGAAGCACGUGAUGGAGAUCGGGCAGUUCGCGGUGACAGAGUAAUACAAACGGUCAAAGAGCGCGUUGAAGUUCGAGAGCGUGGAGAAGGCCUGGACUCAGGUGCUUUCCGGCACCAAUUACCGGCUGAUCUUGGUCGUCAAGGACGGACCUUCGACCAAGAAAUUUGAAGCUGUCGUUUGGGAGAAGCCAUGGGAGCAUUUCAAGAGUCUCACCUCGUUUAAGCCUAUGUUUGGGGGAUGGACUCCGAUAGACCCCACGGAGAAGCACGUGAUGGAGAUCGGGCAGUUCGCGGUGACAGAGUACAACAAACGGUCAAAGAGCGCGUUGAAGUUCGAGAGCGUGGAGAAGGCCUGGACUCAGGUCGUUUCCGGCACCAAUUACCGGCUGAUCUUGGUCGUCAAGGACGGACCUUCGACCAAGAAAUUUGUAGCUGUCGUUUGGGAGAAGCCAUGGGAGCAUUUCAAGAGUCUCACCUCGUUUAAGCCUAUGUUUGGGGGAUGGACUCCGAUAGACCCCACGGAGAAGCACGUGAUGGAGAUCGGGCAGUUCGCGGUGACAGAGUAAUACAAACGGUCAAAGAGCGCGUUGAAGUUCGAGAGCGUGGAGAAGGCCUGGACUCAGGUGCUUUCCGGCACCAAUUACCGGCUGAUCUUGGUCGUCAAGGACGGACCUUCGACCAAGAAAUUGUUAGCUGUCGUUUGGGAGAAGCCAUGGGAGCAUUUCAAGAGUCUCACCUCGUUUAAGCCUAUGCUUGGCGGAUGGACUCCGAUAGACCCCACGGAGAAGCACGUGAUGGAGAUCGGGCAGUUCGCGGUGACAGAGUACAUCAAACGGUCAAAGAGCGCGUUGAAGUUCGAGAGCGUGGAGAAGGCCUGGACUCAGGUGGUUUCCGGCACCAAUUACCGGCUGAUCUUGGUCGUCAAGGACGGACCUUCGACCAAGAAAUUUGAAGUUGUCGUUUGGGAGAAGCCAUGGGAGCAUUUCAAGAGUCUCACCUCGUUUAAGCCUAUGCUUGGGGAUGGACUCCGAUAGACCCCACGGAGAAGCACGUGAUGGAGAUCGGGCAGUUCGAGGUGACGGAGUGCAAUAAACGGUCAAAGAGCGCGUUGAAGUUCGAGAGCGUGGAGAAGGCCUGGACUCAGGUGGUUUCCGGCACCAAUUACCGGCUGAUCUUGGUCGUCAAGGACGGACCUUCGACCAAGAAAUUUGAAGCUGUCGUUUGGGAGAAGCCAUGGGAGCAUUUCAAGAGUCUCACCUCGUUUAAGCCUAUGUUUGGGGGAUGGACUCCGAUAGACCCCACGGAGAAGCACGUGAUGGAGAUCGGGCAGCUCGCGGUGACGGAGUACAACAAACGGUCAAAGAGCGCGUUGAAGUUCGAGAGCGUUUAGAAGGCCGAGACUCAAGUGGUUUCCGGCACCAAUUACCGGCUGAUCUUGGUCGUCAAGGACGGACCUUCGACCAAGAAAUUUGUAGCUGUCGUUUGGGAGAAGCCAUGGGAGCAUUUCAAGAGUCUCACCUCGUUUAAGCCUAUGUUUGGGGGAUGGACUCCGAUAGACCCCACGGAGAAGCACGUGAUGGAGAUCGGGCAGUUCGCGGUAACAGAGUACAACAAACGGUCAAAGAGCGCGUUGAAGUUCGAGAGCGUGGAGAAGGCCUGGACUCAGGUCGUUUCCGGCACCAAUUACCGGCUGGUCUUGGUCGUCAAGGACGGACCUUCGACCAAGAAAUUGUUAGCUGUCGUUUGGGAGAAGCCAUGGGAGCAUUUCAAGAGUCUCACCUCGUUUAAGCCUAUGCUUGGGGGAUGGAAUCCGAUAGACCCCACGGAGAAGCACGUGAUGGAGAUCGGGCAGUUCGCUGUGACAGAGUACAACAAACGGUCAAAGAGCGCGUUGAAGUUCGAGAGCGUGGAGACGGCCUGGACUCAGGUGGUUUCCGGCACCAAUUACCGGCUGAUCUUGGUCGUCAAGGACGGACCUUCGACCAAGAAAUUUGUAGCUGUCAUUUGGGAGUAGCCAUGGGAGCAUUUCAAGAGUCUCACCUCGUUUAAGCCUAUGCUUGGGGGAUGGACUCCGAUAGACCCCACGGAGAAGCACGUGAUGGAGAUCGGGCAGUUCGCGGUGACAGAGUACAACAAACGGUCAAAGAGCGCGUUGAAGUUCGAGAGCGUUGAGAAGGCUUGGACUCAGGUGGUUUCCGGCACCAAUUACCGGCUGAUCUUGGUCGUCAAGGACGGACCUUCGACCAAGAAAUUUGAAGCUGUCGUUUGAGAGAUGCCAUGGGAGCAUUUCAAGAGUCUCACCUCGUUUAAGCCUAUGCUUGGGGGAUGGACUCCGAUAGAGCCCACGGAGAAGCACGUGAUGGAGAUCGGGCAGUUCGCGGUGACAGAGUACAAUAAACGGUCAAAGAGCGCGUUGAAGUUCGAGAGCGUUGAGAAGGCUUGGACUCAGGUGGUUUCCGGCACCAAUUACCGGCUGAUCUUGGUCGUCAAGGACGGACCUUCGACCAAGAAAUUUGUAGCUGUCGUUUGGGAGUAGCCAUGGGAGCAUUUCAAGAGUCUCACCUCGUUUAAGCCUAUGCUUGGGGGAUGGACUCCGAUAGACCCCACGGAGAAGCACGUGAUGGAGAUCGGGCAGUUCGCGGUGACGGAGUACAACAAACGGUCAAAGAGCGCGUUGAAGUUCGAGAGCGUGGAGAAGGCCUGGACUCAGGUGCUUUCCGGCACCAAUUACCGGCUGAUCUUGGUCGUCAAGGACGGACCUUCGACCAAGAAAUUUGAAGCUAUCGUUUGGGAGAAGCCAUGGGAGCAUUUCAAGAGUCUCACCUCGUUUAAGCCUAUGGUUAAAUAGGGUGUUUAACAAAUAACAAAUGCAUGUAAUUGUUAAAUAAAGGAUAGGUAUACUAUUACCUAUCAAUCAUGGCAAUGUCUUAGUCUGUUUUAGUUCAACUUAUAAGAUUUCUUGAGAUGUACAAGAGAUCUUUUUGUUUACUUUUGAGCCAAGUAUUUUCCUGAAAAAGGAAAUAAAUCAAUAAAAAUUAUUGUGUGUCAACAUAUUGGUUAUAUUAGUCUAUACACGUCGGUUUUAAUUACCAUAUCUCCUCCUAAAUAUUUUACUUUUUUUGAAACAAGCUCAAAAAUUUGUUGUAUAAAAAACACUAUCACUUUCAAUCAUAACGUCCUCCUGGUCCUCCAUUGGGGAUAUUAUAGUGUGUCAUUCUGUAACCCAGAACUAUCAUUUAUUCCACCUCUACGAUAUCUUGUAAUGUUACUUGCAGCUUCAUAAGCCACAGAAACAUCAUCAAAAUCAACAAAUUGUUUUCUUUUCUUUUUUUUUAGGAAAGUAAUAAGAAAAAUAAAAGCUGCAUUAUUCUAUUUAUGAUCAAUAGAAGAAUUCAAGUGACUGGAGAAAAUUCAGAUUGUUCAAAAUGGGUUCUCAAACGAGAUAAGCCUCAGGUAGUAGACCUCACCAACAUCAAUACCAGACUCAAUCCAUUGAAUCGGUCUCGUCUUAAGCCUAACAGCUCCCUUCUAAUAUAAUCUAGUGAGAACGGUGAGGUGCUUGGUAUAUCAUACACCAAAAAUCAACGAUGCUUGGACUUUCAAGAAAAAGAGAAAAACAAAUGCAUGCACGGGGAAACGUACUAAUAAAAAGCAAAUCAUAUAAUUUACAAAUUAUUAUAGGCUUGUAGCCAUAAGAUCGAGAGAAACUAAAACAUUUCUUGCAUUUUCUGGCCAUAUUUUCUAAAUGAAGGGAUGGUCCAUUGCUGCUCUGCCAUACUGGAUCUCAAGAUGUCGUUAACAAUAGGUCUCAAGAUGUCACUAAAUUAUUGCCAGCAAAUGAUAUUUCGAGUCAAAAAAGUAUAUUCAAUUAUUGCAUAUAUGCUCCUAGGUAAUUUGCACAAUUGAAUUAUAGCUGUUAAUCUACUUAUUUACACAAUUGAUUAAUUUACGCAUCCAUUGCAAGACUUUCGCACUAGGUUUCAAUUUCAACCACAAAUCCUAGCUCUAGAUAAAAAUGAUGUGGUCGUAGAGAUUUCGAAUGUAUUCACUUUGUGAUUAACGGAAGCAUUGCUUUCAUUUGUAAGACGUUAAAUCAUCAUUUUGGUAAAGGAAAAAGAAUGAAAAAAGCUGCACUAUUUUAAAGGCCAUUUGGUAUAUGACCACUUCCCAUUGGACUUGGAGACCGGGUAAUUUUGUCAUCUCCACUCCUAGAAUCUGCUCUCAUGCUACUUGCAUGGUUCCAUCUUUGAAGUCUGGUACUGUUUUGUUUGGAAAAUACCCCACUAUAAUAUCUUCACGAAGAAAAUUGAUCCCCGUUAACUAGCGUGAUUAGCUUAGUUUCUUAAAUUCAACGUUCGUUUGGUUAAUUGUCUGUUAGUUUAGAAUUUUGAUUAGCCAAUAAAACAAUGAGUUUUAUUGUUUAAUAAGGCAAGUUGAAAUAAAUUCAAUCCUACUCACAGAAAAAUUUAAAUGACACAUAUCAUAAUCUUUUUCAUAUCUUCAGAAAAAUUAAAUCAUAAGAGGAUCAUGAACAAUUUGAUGAUGCUCUGAAAUAUAGUCUUCUGUUUUUCAAGGAAAAAAUAAGGAAGUUAAAAACAUGUUUAUCAGGUUUUUCAGAGAUCAUUUUGACGUUUUUGUUUAAAAACAUGAAAAUUGUUCUUAUUCUCGUAAAACAGAAAAAAUUAUCUGGCCGGUUAGCUAAUUAUUCUUGUUCUUCUGUUCUUUUUUAUUUGAAUUGUUUCUCCCUUUUCCAUUCAUUUUUCACUAUGAAAUUAAUUACUAAUUAAUCUACAGUUAGUUUCUCUACAGCUAAUAGGAACGUGAUUUAUGCCCGAAGACUCGCAUCUUUUUUAUUCAUUAUCUACAGUGCCUCACCUCCAAUCUAUGUAUAGGCGGACAUGCAUAUUUAUUAUAUCAAAUAAGUUAUUGAUGGAAAUUUCACUUUCGAAAUAGAGAAUUAUCCUUAAUUAAAUCUUUGUGGGCCUAAAUUCGAGUAAGAUUUAAUGAUGUAUGAUUCAAAAUUAUUGAAAUCGGACAUUUUAAACAAGAAAAAAAUAAAAAAUCUUGUUCUCUUUUUUAAAUAAUAAAUUUCAUUUUGAUGGAUUUUUAAUAUUAAAUUAGACAUUUGCUAAAUUGGCUCAAAUAUAAUAGAUCUUAGACCUUGCUUUUAAUGGAUUUAAUUAGGUUUUGGGCAUUUAAAUUAUACAACUGGAGACAGAAUUUAUAAAUAGAUAAGAUUCUAAUGUGAUUUUAAAAUAAUUUUGAACUUGAACUUGAACUUGAUGCAUUUAAUUAAUCCAGAAAGGUAAAUUUAUAAUUUCAACUUUUAAAUAAAACAUAUCCUUUGGAUUUUUUACAUAAACUAGAGGCAAUUGUACAAUAUUUACUUGACUAGUGGUAUAUAUCCCAAAUUUUUUAUCCUAAGAAAUGCCACAUCAUUUGGUUGAUGAGGAUAAUAUAAUUAAUUCACUUAGAUAUUAUAAAAAAUUAUCAACCAAUCAAUGAAUAACAUAUCAUUUUCAUUGGGAUGAAAUUUGAAAAAAAAAUUUAGGACGUCUAUCAUUACUUUAGUAAGAAAGCAUAUUAAGAUGGACUGACAUGUUUGGAUGCCCCAGCCUAAGAUGCAAGAGAUCAAUUUCUUUUGUUGUCUUGAAAUCCCUACUAUUUGACUCAACAACAUUGGCAACAUUUAACUCAUUACUACUAGAACAAAAAGAUAUCAUAGACAAAGGAUUGCUAAUGCAAUUUAUUGACUCAUACUCUAAAGAUAGAGGUAACUCAACAGCACAUUCAAUCUUGCGCUACUCAUGCACAUUAGCUCAUAUAGCCUAUCUUUAGUCACUCCUUUCAUUAGGAUUUUCACUUGGCUAAAGCAAGUAGAUUUUUGAAGCACAACAUCAAUAUCAUUAUCACGGAACAAUUUUGAGACAUUAAUAAGGUUCUUAGUAAUGCUAGGCACAGACAACGAGCUGUUUAGUUUAAUCUGUUUGUGUGGAUCAUAAGUGAGCAAUAUAGAGUAUCCAAUAUGAGAAAUCAAAAGUUUAUCACCAUUUCCAACAGUAGCUCAUCAUUACCUUGAUAUUAUGAAUUAAAGCUCAUGCUUCCAAUAGCACUGGUUGCAUGAUUUGUAGCACCAUUGUCAAGGUACCAAGCUCUACUAUUCUCACCGUCAACUGCAACCACAUAUGCUCUUCUUGGAUCUCUUCUUCUAUUUGGCUGUGGAACUGAUAUGAACCCUAUUAAGAACUAACAUGACCCUAACCAAUUUAGUCUCUAAGAUUGAAACCAAUUUUUUAUUUUUUUUAGAAGAGAUUGAAACCAAAUCUAAAAUUGAAUGGAACCGCGAUUUGAUCUCAAUGAAAGUACGAACCUUGGUAUGUGAUGACGUCACAAUUAGCUAUGGAUGAUCUUAUUGAUAAGUCAAGAGUUUGAACGCCACAGAAAUGCGAUAAAUUCAAAGGGUUAGUUUAAGAACCAAAGAGAAUUAGCUUUCUCACCAAUUGCAUCAAAAUUGAUGCCUUUCUUAUUGGAUACGAGUACAUUAGAUAGGGUUGGUUUAUAAGAAUUUUAAGAAAUAAAUCCUAAACCAAAAUCAAAUCAGAAUCCUAAUUUAAAGCAAAUAAUGAAAGAAACUAAAUCAAACCAGAAUCCUUAUUGGCUUAAAUGCCUUGCAUCAAUUAAAAAUGGAAACAAGGCAAUUAAAAGAGAAAUAAUUGAUUCGUUUUGCCACUUGCCUACUCAAGAAAUGGGAAAGUAUCCUAAAAGGAAAGUAGUAUAUUUUCCAAACGAGAAAACAUCUGAUAAGGUAAAUAAUGUAUUUUCUAGCCAUAAUGUGCAAACCAACUUGCUGAUUUUAUGGAAAUGAUUAUGUGGAAACUUAAAAAGCCUGAAUCACGUAUUUAGUGGUCUGAAUAUCAUGUGCGCUUUCUUCAACGGGCCUCCACGAAUUUGAUUGAGCUCAAGUUGCUUAAAUCAACCCAUUAAGCGAUUUUUUGAAUUUUUUUGCACGAGCUCUUGUGAUGGGUCCAACAGGAACUUGAAUGGGAUAUGAAUAUACCUCAUCCCAUGUGCUUGUGACAGUUUUGUCCUCAAUAUCAUAUUUUUUCCUUCAAAGAAACAAUUUUGCUUCAUAUGGAAAAGGAAAUUCUUAUGUAGCCUUACAUGAUUUAUACAUAAACUCAUAAUAUUUGUGUAGUCCUUCAUGAACAUGUGAAAUAUACACUUAUAUAGUGAAUCCUUCAUGAACAAGAUGUUAGUGAAUAACAUCAUAAUUUUGGAAUAGUCUUUCAGGAACAUAUUUUGAAAGAAAAUCUUCAUUAUGUAUAGUGCGAUCCUUAGAGAUGCAUUCUUAAUUUUCUUUCAUUAUAUAUUAUAAUAUUCAUACUUUAGGAUGAAUAUUUUGAAUUUCAAGAAUAGAAAAUAUAUAAUAGCAAUUGAAUAUUAUAAUAUAAAAAAUCAAACAAUAACAAAAUCAAUCAAUGGAACAUUAAAUAAAUGUUGGAAUCCAAAUCUCAUAAAAUAUAUGUAAUCAUUAAUAAAGGAAGUAUUAGAACAAGAAUCAAUCGGUCCUUGAUCUUAGCCACUAACUUAGCAUAUUGUAAUAUUCAUUCUCCUUUAUAUUCUUUCCUUUUCUAUUAUUUGACCGUUUGGUACUUGCCUUAGAUGAUUCUAGUAUUUUUGUAUAUAAGGAUCUUGUACACAGCAACAAAUAUAUAUGAGCAUUUCCACAAUUCUUUACAUGGUAUCAGAGAAAAUUUUGCUCAUUUAUGCUUUUCUCUUUGACAAUCAUGUCUAGUAGUUUGAAUCCAAUAUCAGAAACAUCAAAUUCCCUCAUUACCGAUGCUUCUUCACCAUACUUUCUUCAUUCAUCUGAUCAUCCUGGAGCCAUUCUUGUAUCUAAUGUGCUAACAGGUGAUAAUUAUUCAACAUGGAAAAUAUCCAUGAAGAUGGCAUUAAAUGCCAAAAACAAAUUGGGUUUUAUUGAUGGAAGCAUACAAAAACCUUCAUCAACCUCACAAGAUUUAAAAACUUGGGAGCGAUGCAAUGACAUGGUCCUUUCAUGGAUGCUCAAUGGAAUAGAGAAAAAUCUUGCCAACAGCCUCAUUUAUUGUGAUACUCCACGCUCUCUUUGGCUUGGGUUGGAAGAACGUUUUUCACAAAGUAAUAAUCCACGGAUUUAUGAACUUAAGAGAGCCAUAUGCAAUCACUAGCAAGAGCAAAAAUCAUUAGUGAUUUAUUUUAAUACUUUGAAAUUUUAUUAGGAUGAAUUGUCCACAUUAACCACUAUUUCUUCUUGCAAGUGUGAAACUUCAUAUGAAUUGCAGGGAUUACUAGAGACUGAAAAGGUGUUUCAAUUCCUAAUGGGUCUCAAUGAUUCAUAUUCUUCGGUACGAAGUCAAAUCUUAGCCAUGGAACCACUUCCAAAUGUUGGAAAAACAUAUUCAAUUAUUCAUCAGGAAGAACGUCAACGACUUCUCCAUGUUUCCAGUCAACCAUCCAUUGAAUCAACAGCCUUGACAGCCAAUAAUAAGACUCAAAUGACCAGCUGUCAAAAUCAUUCACAUCCUAGCCAUUUGCAUGGAGUACAAGAGACACAAGGACGGGGUAGACCUUUCUGCGAUCAUUGCCAGAAAUAUGGGCAUAUAAAAGCCAAAUGUUACAAAAUUGUUGGCUAUCCACCAAACUGGAAACAUUCAAAUCGAUCGCAUGUUGCUGCUCCUACAACCACAAAGCCACAACAACUAGAUGAUCAUCCCAUUCCAACAGACAAGAAUUCCUGGUCUACUAUCCAAAUUCCUGGUCUCACGGCUGAACAAUAUCAACAAUUAUUAUCUAUACUUUCAACAAGUGAGCAACCAUCUACUGCAAACUUAGCUGGUAAAAUCAUUCCUUUUUGCAAUUCUGCUAUUAACUCAUAUAAUAAUUCUUGGAUAAUUGAUAGUGGGGCAUCUGAUCACAUGACCCCUAAUAUUUCUUCCUUUAAAAAUUUUGUGCCCAUGUCUCAUGUCAAACCCGUGAGACUACCAAAUGGCACAACUGUUCCUACAACAAAAUGUGGAUCCAUUAAAUUAUCCUCCUCUUUGACUUUAGAUAAUGCCUUAUUGGUUCCUCAUUUUAAUUUUAAUCUAUUAUCUGUAAGCAAGCUAACCAAGGAUUUGAACUGUGCUGCUAUAUUUUUUUCCUUCAUUUUGUGUUUUUUAGGACCUUUCAACGAAGAAGCUGAUUGGAAAGGGUGAAGUUUGGGAUGGACUAUAUUAUUAUGAGCUUAUCAAUGGUCAUUCUUCCCUUCCUUCAGUAAUGAACGUUGCAACGGAACCCAAUUCCAAUCUUUGACAUUUGUGACUCGGUCACCCUUCUAAAGACCGAAUGCAGCGUUUGUCUUUUAUUUCUGAUAUUGCAUCAUUUAAUUCUUGUUGUGAAAUUUGUCAACUUUCAAAAAACACUAGAAGUUCAUUUCAAUUGAAUAAAAAUCGUUCUGAUAUGCCAUUUCAAUUAAUUUUUUGUGAUAUUUGGGGACCUCAUCGCACAUCUACAUAUACGGGAGCAUAUUAUUUUCUUACUAUUGUUGAUGACCAUACUCGUUGUACUUGGGUUUACCUCAUACGGCACAAGUUUGAAGCUUUUCAAUUAUUAAAAAAUUUUUACUUCUUGAUCAAGACACAAUUUCACACACAAAUUAAAAAAAAAAUUUGUAUUAAUCAAGGAAGUGAAUUUUUAUCAAAUCAGAUGCAAUUUUUUUCAUGAGCAUGGCAUCUUGCAUGAACACACUUGUGUUGAAACACCUCAACAAAAUGGGGUAGCAGAACGCAAGUAUCGACAUAUUUUAGAAGUUGCACGUGCAUUAUGUUUUCAAGCACAUUUACCUUUGUCUUUCUGAGGAGAUUGUGUUUUAGUUGCAACCCAUUUGAUUAAUCGUAUACCCACUCCUAAUCUUGGUGGUCAAUCACCUUAUGAAAUGCUUUUUAAGACUAAACCUCACUAUGAUCGUCUUCGUGUCUUUGGCUGUCUUUGUUAUGCUCAUACCAACAGUGCUAAUCGUCAUAAAUUUGCUCCCCGUGCUACCAAGUGUAUAUUUGUUGGUUACCCAUUUGGGUAUCUCGGAUACAAAGUUUAUGAUAUCAUUAAUAAAAAGACUUUUAUUUCUCGUGAUGUUACUUUUGUGGAAACUGAAUUCCCAUUCAAAACUAUCACCAAUCAACAAGAAAAUAGCAAUCUUUUACCUCUUCCUAUCAUACUUCCUGCCAAUGAAAAUGCACAGCUCCUUCCAACUUCUUCCAAUGAAAAGCUACUCCACCAAGGUACAUCUGAUUCAAUAGUUCUCCCUUCUCCACCUCUUCGACGAUCCCAACGACAGUCUUGUCGUCCAAAUUAUCUUCAGAAUUAUAUUUUCUCUACUGCACUUCACGGUACAUUUGGCAACUCUAUUACUUUUACUAAUCAUCCACCAUUGGUAAGUUCUUUAUAUCCAUUAUCCAAGUAUUUAUCAUAUGACAAGUUUUCUAGUGAUCAUGUAGCCUUUCUUUAAGCUAUAUCUCACGGUGUUGAACCAACUACAUAUUCUCAAGCCGUUCAACAUGCUUAUUGGCGCAAUGCUAUGGAUAUAGAGAUUAAAGCUUUGGAGCAAAGUAACACUUGGACAAUACAAGAUCUACCCCCCGGCAAGAAACCAAUUGGUUGUAAAUGAGUGUUUAAAAUUAAAAGAAAAGCUGAUGGUUCUAUUGAUAGAUACAAAGCAUGCCUUGUUGCUAAAGGAUACACACAAACUGAAGGUUUGGAUUACCAUGAGACAUUUGCACCUGUUGCAAAACUUGUGACUGUUAGAUGUGUAUUGGCAAUGGCAGCUAUUCGAGGGUGGUUAUUAUUUCAGUUAGAUGUUCAUAAUGCAUUUCUUCAUGGCGACUUGCAUGAGGAAAUUUAUAUGACCUUACCUCCAGGAGUUCGUAAACAGGGGGAGUCUUAUCAAUUUUGUCGGUUAAACAAGUCCCUUUAUGGUCUUAAGCAAGCUUUUCAAAAAUUGGUUUGAAAAAUUCUCAUCCGCUCUUAAACAAAUUGGUUACAUUCAAUCUUGUGCUGAUUCUUGUUUAUUUACUAAUAUGCACGAUUCUCAUUUUACAUUGGUGCUUGUGUAUGUUGAUGAUAUAAUAAUUGCUGGUAACCAUCUUGACACUAUAACUGCAUUGAAGAUAUUUUUACAGGCUCAAUUUCAUAUUAAAGACUUGGGAACUUUGAAAUAUUUUUUAGGAAUUGAAGUGGCUCGUUCAAAGCAAGGGAUUUUCUUAAAUCAAAGGAAAUAUGCUUUAGAUAUACUUCAAGACAGUGGACAAUUAGGCACACGGCCAUCUUCUUUUCCAAUGGAAUAAAACUUGAAGCUCUCUAACGAUCAAGGAACCCUUUGUCAAAAUCCUGACCACUACUAACCACUGUCAUAGGAUGUCUCAUCUAUUUGACAAUCACCCGGCCAGAAAUUACAUAUGCUGUGAACAUACUUAGUCAAUUUAUGCACACUCCAAGACGACCACAUUAUGAUGUUGCCCUGCGUGUCUUACGUUACAUUAGAUCUUCUCCCGGCGCUGGUAUCCUCUUGUCCUCCGCUAGCUCUUUGGAACUCUCUGCCUUCUCAGAUUCAGAUUGGGCAAGUUGCCCCAUGACCCGUCGAUCCACCACUGAAUAUAUUAUCAUGCUCGGCAACAAUCCUAUUUCUUGGAAAACCAAGAAGCAACCAUUUGUAUCGCGCUCUUCCGCUGAAGCUGAAUAUCGAGCAAUGGCGACAACAACAUGUGAAUUGGUUUGGUUGAAAACUCUACUUCAUGAUCUUCAUGUGACCCAUCCAAUGCCUAUAACUUUACAUUGUGACAAUCAAGUUGUGCUUCAUAUCGCUGCGAAUCCCAUCUUCCAUGAGCGUACCAAGCACAUAGAAAUAGACUGCCAUCUUGUUCGUGAAAAGCUUCAUGCCAAAAUCAUUUCCUUAACUUAUGUGCCUUCACGACAACAAUUGGCUGACAGUUUUACCAAAGUUCUUGGUAAAGAUCAAUUUCAAUAUCUUCUUGGCAAGUUGGGAGUUACGGAUCUUCACUUUCCAACUUGAGGGGGAGUAUUAGAACAAGAAUCAAUCGGUCCUUGAUCUUAGCCACUAACUUAGCAUAUUGUAAUAUUCAUUCUCCUUUAUAUUCUUUCCUUUUCUAUUAUUUGACUGUUUGGUACUUGCCUUAGAUGAUUAUAGUAUUUUGGUAUAUAAGGAUCUUGUACACAGCAACAAAUAUAUAUGACCAUUUCCACAAUUCUUUACAGGAAGUAAGGAACAACUUCAUAGAUCCAUUAUUCUUAAAUUAUAAAAAUACAUAAACAACAUAUGUAUAUGAUUUUAGACAAAUCAAGAUAGUUUAAUUCAUACCUUUGUGAGUGAGAUCAAAGGAGGGAUAUUAUCAUAUUACCUCUUAAUGGCUAGAGACUCGUGUUGAUAAUGUGUUAUAUCAUUUAUCAAUUGGGAGUGCAACAAUAUAGCAAGAGAAAUAAAGAAGGCAAAUAAGAGACACAAUGUUUAGAGGGGAAUUUUAUUCAAUCUCAAAUAUAUACAAAUAGGAAGCAAAGGCCUGCUUUUAUAGUGAUACAAGCAUAAAGUAGUAAGUAAUACCUCGUAAUUAUAAGAGAUGACAAUCCUCAGAUUAGGGAGAUAAUGAGAGUUAUAAAAGAUGGAAAGUUACUUGUGAGGAGAUCGAAGAUUGCUUUGAUGAACAUCCACAUAUAUUAUAAUAAUUUCAUAACAUACAUUUACUUUUAAUUUAUUUUUAAGGUUAAUUGGUUAAUAAGCUUCUUGUGUAGUAGAUUGAUUAAUGUGCCCAAGAAUAUUGUUGGAUGCUAUUAUUUUAAAGGCAAAGAAAAAUAAGGCAUAAGUGUCACAUGUUCAAUAGCAGGGAUGUUUUGAGGAAUUUCUUAAAAUAAAAAGACUAAGUAGAUCUUUAGCCCAAAAUAUAGGGAUUAAGCAAGCAUUCAUCCUAUUGAAAAGCAAAGUAAACUAAUGUAACCAUAAUUGAAUAUAAAGUUAACUCUUCUAUGGCAUUAUAGAGAACAAAAGAAGGAAAAAUAUUAUUCAAAUUCAAGAUAAGAAGGUAGUUUAUUAACUGUCUAAAGUUCAAAAUUUUAUUAAUUUCAGACCUUUUUUAAAAUUUACUUAUUUGUUUUUUUGUAACUUAUGUUUGAUUUUUAGAUAUUUACAUCUGAAUAGAAAAAGUAAGAUUUUUUGACUUUUAUCUAAAUGGAAAAAGAUCUGAAUGAUUAGUAAAUAUUAUAUUCCAUAAAUAUCUCUAUAAAAUAACUUAUUUCCUAAUCUAUAAAAUAGAAUCCCCUUUUUUUAUUUUGAUUUACAAGGACGUAAAUGUCAAAGAACUAAGUUUAAGAUGUUUUUUAUUAUAAAAACAAAUAAGAUGCCACUUACAUUCAUAUAUUAAAAAAUGAAAAACAAACAUGUGAUUCAAAUUUUCGUAUUCAAACCCAUUCAAACUUGAAAAAAAUUUAGACACAUUCAAAUUUCAGACAAAAAAGACAAAUACUACUUCAAUUUUUUUUUCGCUUUGCAACUGCCCACUGCUAACCAAAUAAAAAAAGAUUUUCAAUUUGGAAUUAUGUUAUCCAACAUAUGAAGACAAUUCUUCCUUUGAACGAAUCUUUAUGAUUGUUUUCUGAACGAAUAUUGCUCUAAAUUAAAAUAUUUUAGAACAAAAAAUAGUUGAUUGCCAAAUGUACAAUAGGUACAAUUUUCUUUUUUCAGCUCUCUUUUGGAAGAGAACUAUGUCGUCCUUUAUAAUUAUUAUUUCUUGAAAGAAUACAAACUUAAAUUACUGGCUUUUUAUUUGUAAAAUCAUAUAAAAUAGACUCUUUUAAGGAAAAUAUCUCAUACCGGAGAUAAUAAUUUCUGGACUAAGAAUAUAAACUUAAAACAGCACUACUAUCAAAUUAUCUUUAAAAGAGUUCCUUGAUCAAAAGAAUUUAUUUAUCAUUUUUCACAGUUUAAAAAAAUAAAAAAAAUUACAUAGAAAUAAUUGGAAGAUUUCCUAAAUAAGCAUCAAAUAAAUGCUAAUUUAUUGCAUGAUACUUGGAAGAAACCAUAAAUAAAAAUUAAGGAUUUAUAAUUUUAAAGACAAGUUGGGAGUUUAAAUUUUCUUGCCAUCUUGAGGGAGAAUAAUAAGACCGAAAUAAUAUUGAUGAAACAAAAUAAUCAAUCAAAUAUUUGAUUGUCUUCAUCUUAAUCAGUGAUCAAGAAAAAUUGGUUGUUAAUUAACAUAAAAAUUGAUUGACUCAAUAUUUACUAAUAGAUCAUUAUUCCCAAAUUAUGUUAAUUAUAUAUAUUUCAAAUACUUAUAAGAAUUGAGUUUGCUUACGGUUUAUUAAAUAUAGUCUCUUAAAAGUUUACAUGUGGCCCAUACAAAGCUAACAUUACUCUGUUAUAGCAUUUCGGGCAUCCAACAAGAUCCUCUUCUUCACUUAUUGUUAGAACUAGAGCUAACAAAUUAAUUACUUAAUCACGGCUAAGUUUGGAAUUAAAAUCAAACUAAAUUAUCUAAUUGGUUGAGUUCGGUUUCCGUUUGUAUGGGCUACAUGAAAUUUUUUCUCUCAUCUUCUCUCGUCUGCUAAUCGCAUCUUUCUCUCUUUCGACUCUCUAAUUUCUCUCUUGGAUUUGGUUACCAAGCACAUAAAAUUGAAGCCACCAUCUCGCUCAUAACAAACAACUAGUCGGAUCCACCAAACUGUUGCUGUCAUCUUGAGCCAUUCAAGUAACUUGAACACAUCAUCUUCUCGUAAAUUCUCUUUCAUUUUCGAAUUAAAGACAAGGUAAGGAUGUAAUCUUGACUUUUGUGUUUUUUGUGAUGACUACAGAAAAUGCUAUAUGAAACAAUUAGGGAUUUAUGUGCUAUAUAAUAAUAAUAAUAAUAAUAAUAAUAACAACAACAACAACAACAACAACAAGUAGUCAUUUAUGAAUUUUGAGUGAAAAAUUAGGGAUUUAUGUGCUUCUUCUUCUUCUUCUUCUUCUUCUUCUUAUUAUUAUUAUUAUUAUUAUUAUUAUUAUUAUUAUUAUUAUUAUUAUUAUUAUUUUCCCUAUAUUAAACAAGUAGUCAUUUAUGAAUUUUGAGUGAAAAAUUCACUCGGCUGUGGCAGAUUUUGUGCCUUACAAGUAGUCGAUUUCACGCAUUCAUCAUCACCAUUACUAUGUUCAUUAUUAUUUGCUAUUGUUUUUUACUUUUUCUGCUGUUAUUGAUUAAAUUGACAUUAAAUUUAUGUCUUGUCCAUUACAAGACUUAACAAUAUAAUCCAGGUGUAACAUGGACACUACAGAUGAUACAAGUGCGCAAGACCUAGUCAGAGAGCGUAGUACACUUUUUGUAAGUAUAAACUAAUUGAUAUUUUUCGAGUUGUUAUGUUAGCAACCAUUUUAAAAACACUUUUGUUUUCGAAUUUUGGUUACGUUGAAGUGAAGGGGAUUGAGUUGCCAUUAAAAAUUAAAGUAUUUUGGUCUUUAUAAACAAAGCGCUUUUGUGGAAUAGAUCUAAGAAGAUGCUAAUCUUCUUAAUAAUUUUUUUUUUUUUUAAAUUCUAUUACUCUUGGUGCAACAAAUUUCCUAGUGCCAAAACCUUGUCAUAAAAAAAAAAGAAAAAAAAAAAGAAAACAGAAAAAGAGUGAAAAUCUCUUCGGUCAACCAAAUUACUCAAAUUCGUAAAAUAAUAUAAUACUUGAACCUUAAAAAUAAAAGCUCUAUAUAUUACUAUAUAAACAGUGAUAAACACAAUUACUAUCUAAGCCCACUCGAAAUUUUAUCAUACAGUCGUAUAUUUAUCACCUUAUGUACGUAUAUUGUAAUUUGGAUACGUUAUUUAAUUGUAUUUAUAUUGUGUAUAUUUACCACAUUAUGUACGUAUAUAAAAUAUAACGUAUAUUGUGUAAACUUUACUUUUGAGCUAAGUAUUUUCCUGAAAAAGGAAAUAAAUCAAUAAAAAUUAUUGUGUGUCAACAUAUUGGUUAUAUUAGUCUAUACACGUCGGUUUUAAUUACGAUAUCUCUUCCUAAAUAUUUUACUUUUUUUGAAAGUAACUCAAAAAUUUGUUGUAUAAAAAACACUAUCACUUUCAAUCAUAUGAUGGUUACAUUUUAAUCAUUUAUUCAUAACGUCCUCCUGGACCUCCAUUGGGGAUAUUAUAGUGUGUCAUUCUGUAACCCAGAACUAUCAUUUCUUCCACCUCUACGAUAUCUUGUAAUGUUACUUGCAGCUUCAUAAGCCACAGAAACAUCAUCAAAAUCAACAAAUUGUUUUCUUUUCUUUUUUUUUAGGAAAGUAAUAAGAAAAAUAAAAGCUGCAUUAUUCUAUUUAUGAUCAAUAGAAGAAUUCAAGUGACUGGAGAAAAUUCAGAUUGUUGAAAAUGGGUUCUCAAACGAGAUAAGCCUCAGGUAGUAGACCUCACCAACAUCAGUACCAGACUCAAUCCAUAGAAUCGGUCUCGUCUUAAGCCUAACAGCUCCCUUCUAAUAUAAUCUAGUGAGAACGGUGAGGUGCUUGGUAUAUCAUACACCAAAAAUCAACGAUGCUUGGACUUUCAAGAAAAAGAGAAAAACAAAUGCAUGCACGGGGAAACGUACUAAUCAAAAGCAAAUCAUAUAAUUUACAAAUUAUUAUAGGCUUGUAGCCAUAAGAUCGAGAGAAACUAAAACAUUUCUUGCAUUUUCUGGCCAUAUUUUCUAAAUGAAGGGAUGGUCCAUUGCUGCUCCGCCAUACUGGAUCUCAAGAUGUCAUUAACAAUAGGUCUCAAGAUGUCCCUAACAAGGUGUCACUCUGAUACCGACAGGUCUACCACUUAGACAUAACACUUGCCAUGUAAAAUGUUCUCCUAUUUUUGCUAUUUCCUUCGUAUCUUGCAUUGAAUUAUUGCCAGCAAAUGAUAUUUCGAGUCAAAAAAGUAUAUUCAAUUAUUGCAUAUAUGCUCCUAGGUAAUUUGCACAAUUGAAUUAUAGCUGUUAAUCUACUUAUUUACACAAUUGAUUAAUUGUACGCAUCCAUUGCAAGACUUUCGCACUAAGUUUCAAUUUCAACCACAAAUCCUAGCUCUAGAUAAAAAUGAUGUGGUCGUAGAGAUUUCGAAUGUAUUCACUUUGUGAUUAACGGAAGCAUUGCUUUCAUUUGUAAGACGUUGUCAUCACAGAUUAAUUAAUUAAUCAUCAUUUUGGUAAAGGAAAAAGAAUGAAAAAAGCUGCACUAUUUUAAAGGCCAUUUGGUAUAUGACCACUUCGCAUUGGACUUGGAGACCGGGUAAUUUUGUCAUCUCUACUCCAAGAAUCUGCUCUCAUGCUACUUGCAUGGUUCCAUCUUUGAAGUCUGGUACUGUUUUGUUUGGAAAAUACCCCACUAUAAUAUCUUCACGAAGAAAAUUGAUCCCCGUUAACUAGCGUGAUUAGCUUAGUUUCUUAAAUUCAACGUUCGUUUGGUUAAUUGUCUGUUAGUUUUAGAAUUUUGAUUAGCCAAUAAAACAAUGAGUUUUAUUGUUUAAUAAGGCAAGUUGAAAUAAAUUCAAUCCUACUCACAGAAAAAUUUAAAUGACACAUAUCAUAAUCUUUUUCAUAUCUUCAGAAAAAUUAAAUCAUAAGAGGAUCAUGAACAAUUUGAUGAUGCUCUGAAAUAUAGUCUUCUGUUUUUCAAGGAAAAAAUAAGGAAGUUAAAAACAUGUUUAUCAGGUUUUUCAGAGAUCAUUUUGACGUUUUUGUUUAAAAACAUGAAAAUUGUUCUUAUUCUCGUAAACCAGAAAAAAUUAUCUGGCCGGUUAGCUAAUUAUUCUUGUUCUUCUGUUCUUUUUUAUUUGAAUUGUUUCUCCCUUUUCCAUUCAUUUUUCACUAUGAAAUUAAUUACUAAUUAAUCUACAGUUAGUUUCUCUACAGCUAAUAGGAACGUCAUUUAUGCCCGAAGACUCGCAUCUUUUUUAUUCAUUAUCUACAGUGCCUCACCUCCAAUCUAUGUAUAGGCGGACAUGCAUAUUUAUUAUAUCAAAUAAGUUAUUGAUGGAAAAUAUCACUUUCGAAAUAGAGAAUUAUCCUUAAUUAAAUCUUAGUGGGCCUAAAUUCGAGUAAGAUUUAAUGAUGUAUGAUUCAAAAUUAUUGAAAUCGGACAUUUUAAACAAGAAAAAAAAUAAAAAAUCUUGUUCUCUUUUUUAAAUAAUAAAUUUCAUUGUGAUGGAUUUUUAAUAUUAAAUUAGACAUUUGCUAAAUUGGCUCAAAUAUAAUAGAUCUUAGACCUUGCUUUUAAUGGAUUUAAUUAGGUUUUGGGCAUUUAAAUUAUACAACUGGAGACGGAAUUUAUAAAUAGAUAACAUUCUAAUGUGAUUUUAAAAUAAAUUUGAACUUGAACUUGAUGCAUUUUAUUAAUCCAGAAAGGUAAAUUUAUAAUUUCAACUUUUAAAUAAAACAUAUCCUUUGGAUUUUUUACAUAAACUAGAGGCAAUUGUACAAUAUUUACUUGACUAGUGGUAUAUAUCUCAAAUUUUUUAUCCUAAGAAAUGCCACAUCAUUUGGUUGAUGAGGAUAAUAUAAUUAAUUCACUUAGAUAUUAUAAAAAAUUAUCAACCAAUCAACGAAUAACAUAUCAUUUUCAUUGGGAUGGAAUUUGGAAAAAAAAAUUUAGGACGUCUAUUAUUACUUUAGUAAGAAAGCAUAUUAAGAUGGACUAACAUGUUUGGAUGCCCCAGCCUAAGAUGCAAGAGAUCAAUUUCUUUUGUUGUCUUGAAAUCCCUACUAUUUGACUCAACAACAUUGGCAACAUUUAACCAAUUACUACUAGAACAAAAAGAUAUCAUAGACAAAGGAUUGCUAAUGCAAUUUAUUGACUCAUACUCUAAAGAUAGAGGUAACUCAACAGCACAUUCAUUCUUGCUACUCAUGCACAAUAGCUCAUAUAGCCUAUCUUUAGUCACUCCUUUCAUUUGGAUUUUCACUUGGCUAAAGCAAAUAGAUUUUUGAAGCACAACAUCAAUAUCAUUAUCACGGAACAAUUUUGAGACAUUAAUAAGGUUCUUAAUAACGCUAGGCACAGACAACGAGCUAUUUAGUUUAAUCUGUUUGUGCGGAUCAUAAGUGAGCAAUAUAGAGUAUCCAAUAUGAGAAAUCAAAAGUUUAUCACCAUUUCCAAUAGUAGCUCAUCAUUACCUUGAUAUUCUAAAUUAAAGCUCAUGCUUCCAAUAGCACUGGUUACAUGAUUUGUAGCACCACUGUCAAGGUACCAAGCUCUACUAUUCUCACCGUCAACUGCAACCACAUAUGCUCUUAUUGGAUCUCUUCUUCUAUUUGGCUGUGGAACUGAUAUGAACCCUAUUAAGAACUAACAUGACCCUAACCAAUUUAGUCUCUAAGAUUGAAACCAUUUUUUUUUUUUUUAGAAGAGAUUGAAACCAAAUCUAAAAUUGAAUGGAACCGCGAUUUGAUCUCAAUGAAAGUACGAACCUUGGUAUGUGAUGACGCCACAAUCAGCUAUGGAUGAUCUGAUUGAUAAGUCAAGAGUUUGAACGCCACAGAAAUCCGAUAAGUUCAAAGGGUUAGUUUAAGAACCAAAGAGAAUUAGCUUUCUCACUAAUUGCAUCAAAAUUGAUGUCUUUCUUAUUGGAUACAAGUACAUUAGAUAGGGUUGGUUUAUAAGAAUUUUAAGAAAUAAAUCCUAAACCAAAAUCAAAUCAGAAUCCUAAUUUAAAGCAAAUAAGGAAAGAAACUAAUUCAAACCAUAAUCCUUAUUGGCUUAAAUGCCUUGCAUCAAUUAAAAAUGGAAACAAGGCAAUUAAAAGAGAAAUAAUUGAUUCGUUUUGCCACUUGCCUACUCAAGAAAUGGGAAAGUAUCCUAAAAGGAAAGUUUUUUCCAAACGAGAAACAUCUGAUAAGGUAAAUAAUAUAUUUUCUAGCCAUAAUGUGCAAACCAACUUGCUGAUUUCAUAGAAAUGAUUAUGUGAAAACUUAAAAAGCCUGAAUCACGUAUUUAGUGGUCUAAAUAUCAUGUGCGAUUUCUUCAACGGGGCUCCACGAAUUUGAUUGAGCUCAAGUUGCUUAAAUAAACCCAUUAAGCGAUUUUUUGAAUUUUUUUGCACGAGCUCUUAUGAUGGGUCCAACAAGAACUUGAAUGGGAUAUGAAUAUACCUCAUCUCAUGUGCUUGUGACAGUUUUGUCCUCAAUAUCAUAUUUUUUCCUUCAAAGAAACAAUUUUGCUUCAUAUGGAAAAGGAAAUUCAUAUGGAAAAGGAAAUUUUCCUUCAAAGAAAUAAUUUCAUAACAUACAUUUACUUUUAAUUUAUUUUUAAGGUUAAUUGGUUAAUAAGCUUUUUGUGUAGUAGAUUGAUUAAUGUGCCCAAGAAUAUUGUUGGAUGCUAUUAUUUUAAAAGCAAAGCAAAAUAAGACAUAAGUGUCACAUGUUCAAUAGUAGGGAUGUUUUGAGGAAUUUCUUAAAAUAAAAAGACUAAGUAAUCUUUAGCCCAAAAUAUAGGGAUUAAGCAAGCAUUCAUUCUAUAGAAAAGCAGAGUAAACUAAUGUAACCAUAAUUGAAUAUAAAGUUAACUCUUCUAUGGAAUUAUAGAGAACAAAAGAAGGAAAAAUAUUAUUCAAAUUCAAGAUAAGAAGGUAGUUUAUUAACUGUCUAAAGUUCAAAAUUUUAUUAAUUUCAGACCUUUUUUAAAAUUUGCUUAUUUGUUUUUUUGUAACUUAUGUUUGAUUUUUAGAUAUUUAUAUCUGAAUAGAAAAAGUAAGAUUUUUUUACUUUUAUAUAAAUGGAAAAAGGUCUGAAUGAUUAGUAAAUAUUAUAUUCCAUAAAUAUCUCUAUAAAAUAACUUAUUUCCUAAUCUAUAAAAUAGAAUCCCCUUUUUUUAUUUUGAUUUACAAGGACGUAAAUGUCAAAGAACUAAGUUUAAGAUGUUUUUUAUUAUAAAAACAAAUAAGAUGCCACUUACAUUUAGAUAUUAAAAAAUGAAAAACAAAUAUGUGAUUCAAAUUUUCGUAUUCAGACUAGAGAUGGCCAAUGGGCCGGGCGGCACGUGGCACGGCACGGGCACGGAAUGGGCACGGCACGUGUCCGUACGGCACGACACGGCACGAGCACGUUUCGGUGAGGCACGAGGCACGGCACGGCAUGCACGUGGGCUGUGCCGGGCCUAGAAUUUUAGGCACGCGGGCCUUAAAGCACGGCACGAUUAGAGAUGGGCCAAAGCACGGCACACGAAAAAGCACGUAAUAAGCACGGUUCAUUGGUGGGCUAGCACGCGGCCCGUGAGCCAUCAAUAGCACGUGGGCCAAAAUAUAUCUAAGUAAAUUUUUUUAACAAAAAGUAAAUAUAAAAUGUUAUGAAAUUAAAGUAAAAUAUCUUGAAAUUAAAUGUUUUAAUAUAUUUUUUAGCAUAGACUUCUAAAAAUUAAUUUAAAUCAUUAAAUCUUAGUUUAAAUAAAUAUUCUAAUUUUUUAUGUUUAUAAUUUAUCAAAUGAAUAAUUAAAUAUCAUGAUUUUAAUAAAUAAAUUAUAAAUAUCAUAAUUUUAUUUAUGAUAUUUAUUAAAUGAAUAAUGUUAUUUAUGAUAUUUAAUUUUAUUUAUGAUAUUUAUUUAAUUAUUUAUUUAUGUUUAUAAUUUAUUAAAUGAAUAAGUAAAUAACUAAAUAUCAUGAUUUUAAUAAAUAAAAUUAUAAAUAUCAUAAAUUUAUAAUUUAUAAAUAAAAAAUAAAUCUUUUUACAAAAUUAAUAAUAAAAUAUUUUUCAUAUGAAAUAUUUUUCAUAUUAAUAUUAAAUCAUAACUUAGUUAAUAUUUAAUAGAGAUACGUUUCAUUUGUGAAUGAAAUAUUUUUCAUAUUUAUACACAAGAAAAAAUUAUGAUAAAUUAAAAAUUACAUUUUCAUUAAAUGAAGUUAAAGUACAAUUAUAACUUGUAAGUUGUGACCUAUGAUUUGUUAUAUUAAUAUUUCGUAGUUAUGACUUAUUGUAGUGAUUAUUCGAGGAUUGUAUUUUUAAUUUUAAUUAAUUAUUAUUAUGAGCUAUGGAAUUAAAUUUAUGUAUUGUUGUGUUAUGAAUUAUGAUUGAUUAUUGUGAAAUAAAAUAUAUAGUUGUGAAAUUGUGAUAAACUAAUAAUAAAAUGUUAAUUGCUCUCUUAAUAAAAAUUAAUAUGAUUAUGAUUAUGAAUAUUAUUAUUAUUAUUAUUAUUAUUAUUAUUAUUAUUAUUAUUAUUAUUAUUAUUAUUAUUAUUAUUAUUAUGUUGGUGGGUUUAAAAAAGCACGUCAGGUAUGUGGGUUUGAAUAAAGCACGCCAGACACGUGGACUUUUUUAAGCACGCCAAAAAAACAAAGUUGAUGGGCUUUUUUUUGGGAACGGCCCACGGCACGGCACGAGCGGGCUCGUGCCGUGGGCCGUGCUGGGCUCAACUGAAAAAAAGGUAUGCACGGCACGGCACAGCCCACCACGAGCCCUUGUGGGCUGACAGUUUGCCGGCACGGCCCAUUGGCCAUAGUUAAUUCAGACCCAUUCAAACUUGAAAAAAAUUUAGACACAUUCAAAUUUCAGAUAAAAAAGACAAAUGCUACUUAAAUUUUUUUCGCUUUGCAACUGCCCACUGCUACACCAAAUAAAAAAAGAUUUUCAAUUUGGAAUUAUGUUAUCCAACAUAUGAAGACAAUUCUUCCUUUAAACGAAUCUUUAUGAUUGUUUUCUGAACGAAUAUUGCUCUAAAUUAAAAUAUUUUAGAACAAAAAAUAGCUGAUUGCCAAAUGUACAAUAGGUACAAUUUUCUUUUUUCAGCUCUCUUUUGGAAGAGAACUAUGGCGUCCUUUAUAAUUAUUAUUUCUUGAAAGAAUACAAACUUAAAUUACUGGCUUUUUAUUUGUAAAAUCAUAUAAAAUAGAUUCUUUUAAGGAAAAUAUCUCAUACCGGAGAUAAUAAUUUCUGGACUAAGAAUAUAAACUUAAAACAGCACUACUAUCAAACUAUCUUUAAAAGAGUUCCUUGAUCAAAAGAAUUUAUUUAUCAUUUUUCACAGUUAAAAAAAAUAAAAAAAAUUACAUAGAAAUAAUUUGAAGAUUUCCUAAAUAAGCAUCAAAUAAAUGCUAAUUUACUGCAUGAUACUUAGAAGAAACCAUAAAUAAAAAUUAAGAAUUUACAAUUUUAAAGACGAGCUGGGAGUUUUAAUUUUCUUGCCAUCUUGAGAGAGAAUAAUAAGACCAAAAUAAUAUUGAUGAAACAAAAUAAUCAAUCAAAUAUUUGAUUGUCUUCAUCUUAAUCAGUGAUUAAGAAAAAUUGGUUGUUAAUUAACAUAAAAAUUGAUUGACUCAAUAUUUAUUAAUAGAUCAUUAUUUCCAAAUUAUGUUAAUUAUAUAUAUUUCAAAUACUUAUAAGAAUUGAGUUUGCUUACGGUUUAUUAAAUAUAGUCUCUUAAAAGUUUUCAUGUGGCCCAUACAAAGCUAACAUUACUCUGUUAUAGCAUUUCGGGCAUCCAACAAGAUCCUCUUCUUCACUUAUUGUUAGAACUAGCGCUAACAAAUUAAUUACUUAAUCACGGCUAAGUUUGGAAUUAAAAUCAAACUAAAUUAUCUAAUUGGUUGAGUUCGGUUUCCGUUUGUAUGGGCUACACGAAAUUUUUUCUCUCAUCUUCUCUCGUCUGCUAAUCGCAUCUUUCUCUCUUUCGACUCUCUAAUUUCUCUCUUGGAUUUGGUUACCAAGCACAUAAAAUUGAAGCCACCAUCUCGUUCAUAACAAACAACUAGUCGGAUCCAUCAAACUGUUGCUGUCAUCUUGAGCCAUUCAAGUAACUUGAACACAUCAUCUUCUCGUAAAUUCUCUUUCAUUUUCAAAUUAAAGACAAGGUAAGGAUGUAAUCUUGACUUUUGUGUUUUUUGUGAUGACUACAGAAAAUGCUAUAUGGAACAAUUAGGGAUUUAUGUGCUUCUUCUUCUUCUUCUUCUUCUUCUUCUUCUUAUUAUUAUUAUUAUUAUUAUUAUUUUCCCUAUAUUAAACAAGUAGUUAUUUAUGAAUUUUGAGUGAAAAAUUCACUCGGCUGUGGCAGAUUUUGUGCCUUACAAGUAGUCGAUUUCACGCAUUCAUCAUCACCAUUACUAUGUUCAUUAUUAUUUGCUAUUGUUUUUUACUUUUUCUGCUGUUAUUGAUUAAAUUGACAUUAAAUUUAUGUCUUGUCCAUUACAAGACUUAACAAUAUAAUCCAGUUGUAACAUGGACACUACAGAUGAUACAAGUGCGCAAGACCUAGUCAGAGAGCGUAGUACACUUUUUGUAAGUAUAAACUAAUUGAUAUUUUUCGAGUUGUUAUGUUAGCAACCAUUUUAAAAACACUUUUGUUUUCGAAUUUUGGUUACGUUGAAGUGAAGGGGAUUGAGUUGCCAUUAAAAAUUAAAGUAUUUUGGUCUUUAUAAACAAAGCGCUUUUGUGGAAUAGAUCUAAGAAGAUGCUAAGAAUUGAGUUUGCUUACGGUUUGUAAUCUUGACUUUUGUGUUUUUUGUGAUGACUACAGAAAAUGCUAUAUGAAACAAUUAGGGAUUUAUGUGCUAUAUAAUAAUAAUAAUAAUAAUAAUAAUAAUAAUAAUUAUUAUUAUUAUUAUUAUUAUUAUUAUUAUUAUUAUUAUUAUUUUCCCUAUAUUAAACAAGUAGGCAUUUAUGAAUUUUGAGUGAAAAAUUCACUCGGCUGUGGCGGAUUUUGUGCCUUACAAGUAGUCGAUUUCACGCAUUCAUCAUCACCAUUACUAUGUUCACUAAAAUAUAACGUAUAUUGUGUAAACUCUACUAUAAACAAUUAAUAUUUGGUCAUAUUUCUUUUGGCAAAUAACCCCCUGGGAUUUCUUCUUUAUCGCAACAUGAAAUUGAAGAUAUUUAAAAGGUUUUGAAACGUUAUUUUUAUUGAAAGGAGUUGCCAUUUUUAAUUUUGGUUGCAAAUAAUAAUUCCUUGGUGGUUACAAUAUUUUUAAAUAUCCCCAUUAAGGCUGUAGGGGCUACAAAUCUUCAUUCUAGAUCUGUAACAUAUGACUAUGAAUUAUAUAUAAAUGAGCUAUUUUUCUUUAUCUUUGGAUAUAUUAUAUACUCUAUUGUUUUCUCCGAAACUCUACGAUAAACAAUUAAUACUUUUCUUUGCAACUUCGACAUUCAAAGACUUGGUUUAUUCUUCAGGUAAAUCGUGCUUAGGAAGAAGAGCGGCAUGAAGAUAUUUGGGUUGUAUUUUGGAGCUGCGAAAUACCGACAAUAUCCGCCCGUGGGGAGGGCUCUUUGACAUUUGGGUUGUAUUUUGGACAUUUGUUCUUCUCCAUAGUACUGGCCGGAUUCUUCAACAAUACCCUAAUACUUCUAAAGUCAAAGACAUGCUUCUCUUUCGUUGAAUAUAUUUGCAUCUCUAGGUGAAAGUUGUAAUUGGCUGAGGAAAUUUUUAUUUUUAUAGAAUGGAAGAACAGGGACUUUACGUGGAGAAAAAAUUGUAGUGGGUAUUUUCCAUAGAUAUGGCUAUACAUGUAGCAUGACGAGCUGAUGACGGGAGUUCAUUUGACGGAAUUAGCCCUUCAAUGGGUUGUCGUUAUAAACCAGAUGGCCAAUAUAAUCAUGCAGCCUAUUUCAGCAAUGUUGUUUAUUAUGAUAUUAAUUUUGUGACUCAAGAAGCUGCAAGUAACAAUAAUACAGGACACCGUACAUAUGCAAGUAAUUGUUUUGGUUGCAAAAUGCAACACUUUCUGGACCAUCUUCUGGUUAUAAUUUUGUUUUUAGUAAAAUGUAAUUUUUUUUUAUUAUAGACAUUGUAUAAUUGUUUUAAAAUUUGGUAUAGCAAUAAAUAUGAUCUAUGUUUUGGACUGGUAGGUGGUUUCUUAAAAUUCUAUCCCAAAAGUUUAUCUUAAAGUUCUAUCUUAAAUUAUGUGGUCUUUAGACUGAUUGGUGUAAUUAAUUUAAUUAAUAAAAAAGAUCAGAUCUUCUCCUAGAUAUUUUUUUCCUCCUCCUAAACUUUUAAUAAUCCAUUGAUAUGUGUCAUUAAUGAAAUUAAUAGAUAAAAAAUUAUUUUAUCUUUACCGCUUUAACCCUACCCAAUUUGUGGACCCAUUUUAUCUUCCACGUGAUUGGUAUUAUUACUUUAUUUGUCUUUUUAUGUACUAUUAUUUAUUCUGUGGACCCAUUCAUGCACCCACGUUUCGGACAUGCAAUUUAACCGUAGCCGUUAAUCUUACCUAAUCAUAUGUGCGAUAAAAAUCUGCCGUCGAUCCGUUAUAUGUAAGUACCAACCAUGCGUUAUUAUUCGAUUUGCUACGUUACAAAAUCUUAUUGAUAAGGUUUUUUCAGAGAUUUUUCUUUUAAGACUACCAUUACCUACGUUACAAAAUUAAAUUAUAAGAGGAUCUUGAUAAGGUUUUUUCAGAAACCACUUUGUAAAGUCAAAAUAAAGUCUUCGCCGUCUGCCUCCAAUGACUAACGCCCCAGGCCCUUGAUGAAAUAGAAAUCCGAGCAGUGAAGUCACACUUCUCAUUGAAAACGACUAAUAAAAAUUAAGUUGGAAACUCGAACAGUAACUAGAUAACCUUACUCUUUUAUAUUUUAAGAAUUUGUUCAGAAAAUAUUACGAUCUCUUCUAACUUAAGUUGAAAUGCCGUUUCUAUUUCUUAUUCUUAUAAAAUGUGUACUUAUCAAUAAAGUUUCUUAUAUAAAAUUUUCAACUAAGAAUGAAUCUUCUUCAUCCAAGAUGCUAAUACAGUCCUAAAGGUGGUGGUGAUGAAAGAAUGGACAUUAAACCAUUAAACUUCAUUCUCGUAGUCUCAAGCGUGGUUGCUGGUCCUCCAUAAGACCAAUAAUCUCUCCCUCCGUGACUCGUAACCAGACUGUGAUAUCACUUGUUGGACCCAGACACUUAUUGUGACUUUUUAGCAAGUCGCCAAUCACUAAAUUGGUCCAGAUUUAACAUGCUUAUUUAUGGAUCUUUCAAAUUAAAGUUUUCAUAUUCCUUUGAAAACUAAUUGGAAAUAAAAUAUAAAAAAAAAGAAUAAUAAACUAUUUAACUUCAUCCAUUUAUAAUCCUAAGGAUAUUCAUUGGGCACCCAUAAGAUCAACAGUCUUAUACUAUAAUUUAAAUUUAAUUAUGUUUUAUUGACAAAAAUUAGCUAUUAUCAUUAUGAAAUGCCCAUUUCACUGGACUAUCUUUGAUUAUAAAAUUGUUUUAGCAAUUCCAAGUGAAAUGAUAUUUUGAACGAGGAAAAGACUCAAUUAGACAUUUAGACCGGGCUGCAGUUCUGGCCUCAUUUUGUCCUGAAGCUCAGCCAUGAUCCUGCCAAAGUUUUGGAGCCAUUCUAGCCACAUUUUAUCUUACUAUUAUGCACCACAUUUACUUUUUCGAUCUUCGAGACUUCGACUGGGUCAAACAUAUCCUCAAGCUCCGCUUUAACCUUACGAAAUUUGUGCCACUUGGCCUUGUAGCUCAGUGGUGGAUCAUUACCCUCAAAGUUAAGCAUGAUUAUGAGGGCAAUGGUUCGAGUUUUUACGGACUUAAUCUCCCUCAAUUAAACAUAAUUGUGUGGAGAUUUUUUAUAACGUCUUUCUCUCUUGUGAAAUGCGAGUGGAGUAGAGAUAUCCCUCCUCCGUGAGGGGUAUUUGGAUGAGCAUGUACUUCAUAGAAUAAAAAUGUAAUUAUAUAAGUCCUAUGUAUAUAUAUCUGAUUGUAAAUAUCAAUGUAAUGACUUGUUGUCAUAGCAAUUGUAUAUAUCUCUGUGUAAUAUAGUAAUAUGAUACUUAAUCAAUUUAAAAAAAAAAAAAAACUUACGAAAUUUGUUGACCCAUUUUACCUUCACGUGAUUGGUAUUACUACUUUUGUCGACAAGGCUACGUUGCAGUUGCAGACUCAGCUGAGUACCAACAGCUUUUCCUCUCUCCUGCAACGCGUGGAUGCUCCUUGUUUGUCUUCUUAUCUGCAAUUAUUUUCUCUGUGGACCCAUUCAUGCACCCACGUCUCGAAUAUGCAAUCUAACCCACGUCUCGAAUAUGCAAUUAUUUUUUUUGUGGACCCAUUUUACCUUCACGUGAUUGGUAUUACUACUUUUGUGGACAAGGCUACGUUGCAGUUGCAGACUCUGUAUGCAACAGCUCAGUCCAAACUGGCCUUGUAUCAGCUGAGUUCCAACAGCUUUUCCUCUCUCCUGCAGCGCGUGGAUGCUCCUUGUUUGUCUUCUUAUCUGCAAUUAUUUUCUCUGUGGACCCAUUCAUGCACCCACGUCUCGAAUAUGCAAUUUAACCGUAGCCGUUAAUCAUAUCUAACUAUAUGUACGAUAAAAAUUCCGCCGUCGAUCCGCUAUAUGUAAGUACCAAUCAGGCAUUAGUUUUCUAAUAAGACUUUAUUUCUUUUAUUAGCUCAUAUUCAUCCAUGUGUUUAUCAUUCCUAGCUAAUUCGAUUAUUUAAAAUAACAAUGAUCCAUCAAUAAUUUUAUUCUUCGACCGGCUAAAAUGAUUUUUUUUAUUAUUAUUUUGAUGAGGAGGUCUCAAUAAAGUUCAAAUAAAUAAAUUUUGGUCUUUGUCUCACACUUACAUAAACAAACGAAAAAAUUAUAAAAUUAUAAAAAAAUUAAGAACCAUUGUCAAUUAUGUAAAUUCAAAUAUUUAAACAAUCAAAAUAAUUGCGGUUAGUUUUCCCCUGUAAUCAAUUAUUGGCAUCGGAUGGGAACCACGUAAUUCGUGUAAUUGAUAUAAAGCAAUCUUUGAUGAAUCGUGACCCACUUAACAAGGAUCAAUACAUUCAGAAAUGAAUUCCACUCACCAAUUGAGAUACUAGUAUUAAUAUUAUCGGGAUUUAUACUGCUCUAAAGACAAUGUUACAGAGAAGCUGCUAUAACUCUCAUGACUCUGAAUCUAAGUGUUCAAUACGAGUGUAAAGACCUAAUUGCUCUGAUACAAGAAAUCAGUCCAGUCUUGUAUUACUAAACUUAUUAGCAGAUUUUUGGCUCCCAGCUAGCACAUGGGUAGCACCUGUAACGCUGCAUCAAUUAACAAAACUGAUUUACCAGAAUUUCCAGCCCCUAUACUUUGCAUCAAUAAAUUAUGAAAUUGGACAAGAUUUGUGUGUGAUUUUAAAAUAAAUAUGAACUUGAAUUUGAUGCAUUUAAUUAAUCCAAAGAGGCAAAUUUAUAAUUUCAACUUCUAAAUAAAACAUAUCAUUUGAAUUUUAUCAGUGGUUUCUAAUAAUAACUGACAGGUCAUUAUAAUAAUUAUAAAUGUAAUAUUUAUUUUUAUAAUUAUACAGUUAUGAUCAAUGCUAUGCUGUAGUGCCGUUCCAAAGGCAACUGCUCCCACUAUUCUCUUAGCGGCUCUGCCACUAAUCGCAUUCUGGCCACAUUUUAUCUUGCUAUUAUGCACCAUAUUUAUUUUUGCAAUCUGCGAGACUGCGACUAGGAUAUGCAAUUGCUCAAGCUCCGGUUUAGUCUUAAUUUGUGGACCCAUUCUACCUCACACGUGAUUGGCAUUACUACUUUGUUUGUCUUCUUAUGUACUAUUAUUUAUUAUGUGGACCCAUUCGUGCACCCACGUUUCGAAUACACAAUUUAACCGCAGCCGCUAAUCUUACUUAAUUUAUGUACGAUAAAAGCUCCGCCGUCGAUCCGUUAUACUUAAGUACCAACCAUGAUUAUUAUUUGAUUAGCUACGUCACAAAGUCGUAUUGAUUACGAAACACCAACACCUAGGGCCUAGGCAAUAUAGACAGGUCCUAAAUUAUGAACAGACAUUUACGCUGUGGACCCAUUCAUGCAUCCCCGUUUCGAUUUUGCAAUUUAACGUAGCCGUUAAUCUUACCUAACCAUCUGUACGAGAAAAACUCCGCCGUCGAUCCGUAUAUGUAAGCACCAAGCAUGCAUUAUUAUUUUACCGAUUAUAAAGCACCGACACCCAGGGCCUAGAAUUAUAAUACUAUUUUUUUUUUGGAUUAGGACGAAAUUAUUAUUGAAUAAUAAUUAAAACAAGAAAAUCUGAAUCUUUCUAUGAUUGUAUCAACUUAUUAUGCAUGCCUAUGUUAUUGCCCGGUUGCCUAUGGUAUUGACAUCUACUACGAAGUUAGAAAUUGGUCUUAAUUAAUUAGAUGCAUUUCUCAUUUGAAUUAUUUGGAGACGUGUAUAAUACAGGUCAAGUUUUCUAAUAAGAGGUUAGUGACUUUAUUUCUUUUAUUGGCUCAUAUUGAUUUAUUUGGUUAUCAUUCCUAGCUAAUUCGGUUAUUUAUCAAUAAUUUUAUUGGACAAAUUCUUUUAUUGGUUAAAAUAAGUUUUUCUUAUUAUUGUUUUUGACGAGAAGGUCUCAAUAAAGUUGGAGUAAACAAAUUUUCAUCUAUGUCUCGCACUUACAUAAAAUAAAGGAAAAAAUUAUAAUUAUAAAUAAAUUAAGAACCAAUGUCAAUAAUGUAAAAUCAAAUAUUUAAACAAUCAAAAUUUUAUCACUUUUGAAUUUAAGACUUUUUUCUUUCAUAUGUUAGAAAAUAAAAUUUUGAUGGAAAUUUUUUUUUAAAUGAAAUUGGGAAUUAGAAAUUUUCAUUUCCAAGACUAUCUUUCAUUGGCUAUGUCCAAGACGAAACAGAUUAAAAGCAAAUUUUGUAAUUUACAAAAUUACUGUAGCAAUGAGAUGCGAAAGAAAAGACUGCACGUGAUAAUUGCGGUUAGUUUUCCCCUGUAAUCAAUUAUUGCCACCGGAUGGGAGCCACGUAAUUCGUCUAAUUGAACUGUACCCGGUUAUUCGCAAUCCACACCGGGCAAACUUGAAUCAUCUAUAUAUAUUACAUCAAAUUGUCAAACUGGAAGCAAGAACUCGAAAAAACAACUUAACUACUUUCGAACUUUGAUUCCCGUAAGCAGAGAUCUUUCUGAUUUGAAGAACAUGGAAACCACCUGCGCAGGUUUAUAGGCCAACUUUAUUUUAAUAUAUAUCGUUUAUACUUCUUAUUUUAGUAUAUGCGGUUAUAAAUUAAAUUUUUUAUAUGAAAUUUUCAGGUAAUAACUGGUCAGAGGGUCUUCUGCUUCCUCCGUUUGGCAGUAUUGCUGAUGAUGAUGUCAUGAACGACAAUCUUGAUUUUCUUAAUGUCCCCCAAUAUGGAAGAAACCCCGACUACAUGGGUUAAGUGCAGCACUGCUUUUUUUUUUUUUCUGUUUUGUUUAAUUAAAUAAAUGAUAGGUAUACUAUUACCUAUCAAUCAUGACAAUGUUUUAGUAUGGUUUAGUUCAACUUAUAAGAUUUCUUGAGACGUACAAGCAAUCUUUUUGUUUACUUUUGAGCUAAGUAUUUUCCUGAAAAAGGAAAUAAAUCAAUAAAAGUUAUUGUGUGUGUCAACAUAUUGGUUCUAUUAGUUUAUACACGUCGGUUUUAAUUACGAUCUCUCUUCCUAAAUGUUGUACUUUUUUUUGAAAUAAACUCAAAACUUUGUUGUAUAAAAAACUCUUAUCACUUUCAAUCAUAUGAUGGUUACAAUUUAAUCAUUUAUUCAUAACAUCCUCCUGGUCCUCCAUUGAGGAUAUUAAAGUGUGCCAUUCUGUAACCCAGAACUAUCAUUUCUUCCACCUCUACGAUAUCUUGUAAUGUUACUUGCAGCUUCAUAAGCCACAGAAACAUCAUCAAAAUCAACAAAUUGUUUUUUUUUUUUUUAGGAAAGUAAUAAGAAAAAUAAAAGCUGCAUUAUUUUAUUGGCCACAUUGGACUCCUAGGCCGGGUAAUCUUGUCAUCUCUACUCGUAGAGUCUUCUCCCAUGGUACUUGCAUGGUUCCAUCUUUUAACUCUAGUAGUAUUUUGUUUGGAAAAUACCCCAAUAUAAUAUCUUCAUUCAAGAAAAUUGAGGACUGAAUUUGUGGUGCUUUUAUCAUAUUAAAUUACAUUUAAUUAUCAAUAUUUAUUGACUGAAAUCAGAAGGGUGUUUGAAUCAGAUAUGAAUUCUCUCUUAAUCAAUUUUUUUUUCUAAAUUUUGUAAGAUAUUAUGGCAGAUUUCAUUUAAAUUGUUUUAUAGUUAGGAUUUAAUUUAUUUUGGGCUUUCCUUAUUGUUUGAAUCCGAUGAAUUUCAUAUCAUCUUGCUGGUGCUUCUUCUGAUCUUCUUCUCCCUCCCUCUCUCUCACUUUUUUUCUUCUCUCUCACAGACCUAAAACUUUGACGAGCAAAUUUGAAAACGAAAUAUCAGGACGGAAAAGCCUCAACAUAUUAAAAAAUUCGGAUAAUUUAACUCUCGUAGCAUUGAUGAAUUUUGGUGUUCUGAUGCGAUUCAAGUUUCUCAUAGAGCCAAAAAAUGGCAAUUCAAGCCAAUUUUUUUAUCCAUCAAUUGAAAUACAUGUUACAUAUGCAGCAGCCCGUAAUCGAAAAUAACUUAAUUUGUUUUAAAAAUUCUUUAUGUUAGACUAGAAAUGAAUCCAUUCUUGUUAUUGCGUAUCUGCAAUUUAACUUAUGCUGCUAGUUUACAAUUUAUUUUAUUCACAUAAAUGAUCGUUCCUUUUUCUUAUUCUCAAUUAAAUUUUGGUUCCUAGAAUGAUAGUUAAAAAAAUUAACAAUAAUAAUCGAUGUCGCAGAUCAAUUAUCAAAGUUUGUUUGUGUGAACAAGAAAUAUGAGAAAAAGUUUGUUAGUUAAUUGUCUCUUAGUUUUAGAAUUUUGAUUAACCAAUAAAACAACGUAUUUUAUUGUUUAAUAAAACAAGUUCAAAGUAAAUUCAAUCCUAGUCAUAUUUUGAUAUUUUUAUUACAUCGCAAUUAAAUUUAAGACAAACCACAUUUCGGCAAUUAAAUUUAAGACAAGCCACAUUCUCCACAUGAAAUAUUUUGUCGCGUCGUGAUUAAAUGAUUGAGUCUCACGUAGAAGUCUGUCACUAACCAUAUAUUUUUAUAAAUUUAUCAACACAAAAAGAAAAAAAAAAUGAAGUAUUUGAAAUUUAUCUGGGGCUAAGCAGUAACAUUGGAUGUUGCCUCGGAUGUCCUAUAUCAAGGGCCCGAUUAAUAAAAUUUUGGGCCCUAGGCAAAAUUUCUAAAUUAGCCCUUUUUAUUUAAAUGAAAGUUAAUGUGAGAUUAAUUUAAAUUUUUACGAUUAAUAUGAAUAAUUUAUUUUUUUAGAUAUAAUUCCUUUACAUAGUUUGUAUCUGUAUUAUUUCAAAGAUUUUUUUGGGUUAUGUUUAAGCAGGCUUAUUUUUGAGAGAUUAUGAAGAAUAAGAGAUUGUGUUUCAAUUGGAAAUAACAAAAAUUUCGUUGCAUAAUUUUUUUUAAGCAUUAAAGAAAUAAGUUAUUGACGGAAAUUUCACUUUCAACAUAGAGAAUAUCCAACAUUUUAAACAAGAAAAUAAAUAAAUUCUGAUUUUUUAACUGAACUAUAUAUUGAGGUGGGGCCAAAAUUUUUGGAGAGCAAAUAUAAUAACUCAAUUUCUAAAUAAUGAAUAAUGACUCAAUUUCUAAAUAAUGAAGUAAAACAUAAAUUAGGGUUUUAGUAGGAAAGUAUAUUAGAUGGGACCUUGAUUUUAGGGGAAGGCAUAGGCAGUUGCCUAAAGAGUAGAGCUUCUAACACCCCUUUUAAACUUGUAACAAACCCCAAUUUUUUGUUUUUUUAAGUCUCUUUCUUUUAUGAAAAAUACAGAAAAGGACAUAAAGUUAUAAUGAAAUUUUAAUUGAACUUCACUACUGUAUAGAAUACAUUUUGUAAACAAAUUUUUCAUAAUAAAUUUUUUAAUAAAUAAUUUAUUUCUUUGUUAUUUUGUUUUUAUCAGCAAAUUAAUUAUAAUAUCAUAGGAUUAGCAAAUAGUCAAGAUUCAAGAUUUGUUAAGCUAUUUUAAUGUAAUCAAAUUCAUAUUUUUCCUUUUAGUAAUUCUUAGUAAUAAUAGAACUAUUAUUUUAAAAGUAGGGUGAUGCAAGAAUAUUAAAACGGUGUGAAAAGCAUUACUCUUGCCUAAAUUAUUCCAAGGUUGAACCGGCGUGUCUAAUUACCACCCUCUAGAGAAAGGGGAAAUUUUUUUUUCCGAAGACAACCAUGUUUUGGGUAUUUCUACCGACACUCUACAAAAUAAAUGCUGGAAGAAAAUUAAUACUCUAUUAAUUGUUAGGGACAAAUCACACUUCCGUUGAGAAUAGACCUUCAGUUAAGUAUACCGGUUUCGACAUCCCUCGACUCUUGAGCUUUUCUUUGAAUAUAAGUUGGGUUCGUGGGUUUUUAUAUAAUAUCAGAGUUAGAAUCGUACAUAAGUGAGUCCACACUACCUUACCACAUCGAUUGAGAAUAAAUAUUGAGUUCAAUAUUAAACCUUCAACCACAAGGAUAAAACUAAUUAAGGCCCUUGAGGGGCUUCAAUACAUCCUCAACUAUUAAAUUCAUGGAAAUUCAUAUUAAUUUAAUGGAGUUGAACUUUUGGCACCCUUUGAAUAUGUCUUAAAACACAUUUUCUUUACUUAUCCCAUUAAAAUUGUAUAAAGAUUGCACACUUUCUCAUGAAAUCCCUAUGAUUCUAAAAAUAACCCUGAUUUCUUGUUAAAUAAACACCAAUGCAGAUGCGGCAAUAAAAUAGUUAAUUUAAAAAAAAAUCCCUAUCUGAGAGACAGAAAGCUAGAGGAUUUCAAUAUGGAAUAUUUAUGAUCAAUAGAAGAAUUCAAGUGACUGGAGAAAAUUCAGAUUGUUCAAAAUGGGUUCUCAAACGAGAUAAGCCUCAGGUAGUAGACCUCACCAACAUCAGUACCAGACUCAAUCCAUAGAAUCGGUCUCGUCUUAAGCCUAACAGCUCCCUUUUAAUAUAAUCUAGUGAGAACGGUGAGGUGCUUGGUAUAUCAUACACCAAAAAUCAACGAUGCUUGGACUUUCAAGAAAAAGAGAAAAACAAAUGCAUGCACGGGGAAACGUACUAAUUAAAAGCAAAUCAUAUAAUUUACAAAUUAUUAUAGGCUUGUAGCCAUAAGAUCGAGAGAAACUAAAACAUUUCUUGCAUUUUCUGGCCAUAUUUUCUAAAUGAAGGGAUGGUCCAUUGCUGCUCUGCCAUACUGGAUCUCAAGAUGUCAUUAACAAUAGGUCUCAAGAUGUCGCUAACAAGGUGUCACUCUGAUACCGACAGGUCUACCACUUAGACAUAACACUUGCCAUAUAAAAUUUUCUCCUAUUUUUGCUAUUUCCUUCGUAUCUUGCAUUGAAUUAUUGCCAGCAAAUGAUAUUUCGAGUCAAAAAAGUAUAUUCAAUUAUUGCAUAUAUGCUCCUAGGUAAUUUGCACAAUUGAAUUAUAGCUGUUAAUCUACUUAUUUACACAAUUGAUUAAUUGUGCGCAUCCAUUGCAAGACUUUCGCACUAAGUUUCAAUUUCAACCACAAAUCCUAGCUCUAGAUAAAAAUGAUGUGGUCGUAGAGAUUUCGAAUGUAUUCACUUUGUGAUUAACGGAAGCAUUGCUUUCAUUUGUAAGACGUUGUCAUCAGAGAUUAAUUAAUUAAUCAUCAUUUUGCUAAAGGAAAAAGAAUGAAAAAAGCUGCACUAUUUUAAAGGCCAUUUGGUAUAUGACCACUUCGCAUUGGACUUGGAGACCGGGUAAUUUUGUCAUCUCUACUCCAAGAAUCUGCUCUCAUGCUACUUGCAUGGUUCCAUCUUUGAAGUCUGGUACUGUUUUUUUUGGAAAAUACCCCACUAUAAUAUCUUCACGAAGAAAAUUGAUCCCCGUUAACUAGCGUGAUUAGCUUAGUUUCUUAAAUUCAACGUUCGUUUGGUUAAUUAUAUGUUAGUUUUAGAAUUUUGAUUAGCCAAUAAAACAAUGAGUUUUAUUGUUUAAUAAGGCAAUUUGAAAUAAAUUCAGUCCUACUCACAGAAAAAUUUAAAUGACACAUAUCAUAAUCUUUUUCAUAUCUUCAGAAAAAUUAAAUCAUAAGAGGAUCAUGAACAAUUUGAUGAUGCUCUGAAAUAUAGUCUUCUGUUUUUCAAGGAAAAAAUAAGGAAGUUAAAAACAUGUUUAUCAGGUUUUUCAGAGAUCAUUUUGACGUUUUUGUUUAAAAACAUGAAAAUUGUUCUUAUUCUCGUAAAACAGAAAAAAUUAUCUGGCCGGUUAGCUAAUUAUUCUUGUUCUUCUGUUCUUUUUUAUUUGAAUUGUUUCUCCCUUUUCCAUUCAUUUUUCACUAUGAAAUUAAUUACUAAUUAAUCUACAGUUAGUUUCUCUACAGCUAAUAGGAACGUGAUUUAUGCCCGAAGACUCGCAUCUUUUUUAUUCAUUAUCUACAGUGCCUCACCUCCAAUCUAUGUAUAGGCGGACAUGCAUAUUUAUUAUAUCAAAUAAGUUAUUGAUGGAAAUUUCACUUUCGAAAUAGAGAAUUAUCCUUAAUUAAAUCUUUGUGGGCCUAAAUUCGAGUAAGAUUUAAUGAUGUAUGAUUCAAAAUUAUUGAAAUCGGACAUUUUAAACAAGAAAAAAAUAAAAAAAUCUUGUUCUCUUUUUUAAAUAAUAAAUUUCAUUUUGAUGGAUUUUUAAUAUUAAAUUAGACAUUUGCUAAAUUGGCUCAAAUAUAAUAGAUCUUAGACCUUGCUUUUAAUGGAUUUAAUUAGGUUUUGGGCAUUUAAAUUAUACAACUGGAGACAGAAUUUAUAAACAGAUAAGAUUCUAAUGUGAUUUUAAAAUAAUUUUGAACUUGAACUUGAACUUGAUGCAUUUAAUUAAUCCAGAAAGGUAAAUUUAUAAUUUCAACUUUUAAAUAAAACAUAUCCUUUGGAUUUUUUACAUAAACUAGAGGCAAUUGUACAAUAUUUACUUGACUAGUGGUAUAUAUCCCAAAUUUUUUAUCCUAAGAAAUGCAACAUCAUUUGGUUGAUGAGGAUAAUAUAAUUAAUUCACUUAGAUAUUAUAAAAAAUUAUCAACCAAUCAAUGAAUAACAUAUCAUUUUCAUUGGGAUGGAAUUUGAAAAAAAAAUUUAGGACGUCUAUCAUUACUUUAGUAAGAAAGCAUAUUAAGAUGGACUGACAUGUUUGGAUGCCCCAGUCUAAGAUGCAAGAGAUCAAUUUCUUUUGUUGUCUUGAAAUCCCUACUAUUUGACUCAACAACAUUGGCAACAUUUAACUCAUUACUACUAGAACAAAAAAGAUAUCAUAGACAAAGGAUUGCUAAUGCAAUUUAUUGACUCAUACUCUAAAGAUAGAGGUAACUCAACAGCACAUUCAAUCUUGCGCUACUCAUGCACAUUAGCUCAUAUAGCCUAUCUUUAGUCACUCCUUUCAUUAGGAUUUUCACUUGGCUAAAGCAAGUAGAUUUUUGAAGCACAACAUCAAUAUCAUUAUCACGGAACAAUUUUGAGACAUUAAUAAGGUUCUUAGUAAUGCUAGGCACAUACAACGAGCUGUUUAGUUUAAUCUGUUUCUGUGGAUCAUAAGUGAGCAAUAUAGAGUAUCCAAUAUGAGAAAUCAAAAGUUUAUCACCAUUUCCAACAGUAGCUCAUCAUUACCCUGAUAUUCUGAAUUAAAGCUCAUGCUUCCAAUAGCACUGGUUGCAUGAUUUGUAGCACCAUUGUCAAGGUACCAAGCUCUACUAUUCUCACCGUCAACUGCAACCACAUAUGCUCUUCUUGGAUCUCUUCUUCUAUUUGGCUGUGGAACUAAUAUGAACCCUAUUAAGAACUAACAUGACCCUAACCAAUUUAGUCUCUAAGAUUGAAACCAAUUUUUUAUUUUUUUUAGAAGAGAUUGAAACCAAAUCUAAAAUUGAAUGGAACCGCGAUUUGAUCUCAAUGAAAGUACGAACCUUGGUAUGUGAUGACGCCACAAUCAGCUAUGGAUGAUCUUAUUGAUAAGUCAAGAGUUUGAACGCCACAGAAAUCCGAUAAAUUCAAAGGGUUAGUUUAAGAACCAAAGAGAAUUAGCUUUCUCAGCAAUUGCAUCAAAAUUGAUGCCUUUCUUAUUGGAUACGAGUACAUUAGAUAGGGUUGGUUUAUAAGAAUUUUAAGAAAUAAAUCCUAAACCAAAAUCAAAUCAGAAUCCUAAUUUAAAGCAAAUAAGGAAAGAAACUAAAUCAAACCAGAAUCCUUAUUGGCUUAAAUGCCUUGCAUCAAUUAAAAAUGGAAACAAGGCAAUUAAAAGAGAAAUAAUUGAUUCGUUUUGCCACUUGCCUACUCAAGAAAUGGGAAAGUAUCCUAAAAGGAAAGUAGUAUAUUUUCCAAACGAGAAAACAUCUGAUAAGGUAAAUAAUGUAUUUUCUAGCCAUAAUGUGCAAACCAACUUGCUGAUUUUAUGGAAAUGAUUAUGUGGAAACUUAAAAAGCCUGAAUCACGUAUUUAGUGGUCUGAAUAUCAUGUGCGCUUUCUUCAACGGGCCUCCACGAAUUUGAUUGAGCUCAAGUUGCUUAAAUCAACCCAUUAAGCGAUUUUUUGAAUUUUUUUGCACGAGCUCUUGUGAUGGGUCCAAUAGGAACUUGAAUGGGAUAUGAAUAUACCUCAUCCCAUGUGCUUGUGACAGUUUUGUCCUCAAUAUCAUAUUUUUUCCUUCAAAGAAACAAUUUUGCUUCAUAUGGAAAAGGAAAUUCUUAUGUAGCCUUAUAUGAUUUAUACAUAAACUCAUAAUAUUUGUGUAGUCCUUCAUGAACAUGUGAAAUAUACACUUAUAUAGUGAAUCCUUCAUGAACAAGAUGUUAGUGAAUAACAUCAUAAUUUUGGAAUAGUCUUUCAGGAACAUAUUUUGAAAGAAAAUCUUCAUUAUGUAUAGUGCGAUCCUUAGAGAUGCAUUCUUAAUUUUCUUUCAUUAUAUAUUAUAAUAUUCAUACUUUAGGAUGAAUAUUUUGAAUUUCAAGAAUAGAAAAUAUAUAAUAGCAAUUGAAUAUUAUAAUAUAAAAAAUCAAACAAUAACAAAAUCAAUCAAUGGAACAUUAAAUAAAUGUUGGAAUCCAAAUCUCAUAAAAUAUAUGUAAUCAUUAAUAAAGGAAGUAUUAGAACAAGAAUCAAUCGGUCCUUGAUCUUAGCCACUAACUUAGCAUAUUGUAAUAUUCAUUCUCCUUUAUAUUCUUUCCUUUUCUAUUAUUUGACCGUUUGGUACUUGCCUUAGAUGAUUCUAGUAUUUUUGUAUAUAAGGAUCUUGUACACAGCAACAAAUAUAUAUGAGCAUUUCCACAAUUCUUUACAUGGUACCAAAGAAAAUUUUGCUCAUUUAUGCUUUUCUCUUUGAAAAUCAUGUCUAGUAGUUUGAAUCCAAUAUCAGAAACAUCAAAUUCCCUCAUUACCGAUGCUUCUUCACCAUACUUUCUUCAUUCAUCUGAUCAUCCUGGAGCCAUUCUUGUAUCUAAUGUGCUAACGGGUGAUAAUUAUUCAACAUGGAAAAUAUCCAUGAAGAUGGCAUUAAAUGCCAAAAACAAAUUGGGUUUUAUUGAUGGAAGCAUACAAAAACCUUCAUCAACCUCACAAGAUUUAAAAACUUGGGAGCGAUGCAAUGACAUGGUCCUUUCAUGGAUGCUCAAUGGAAUAGAGAAAAAUCUUGCUAACAGCCUCAUUUAUUGUGAUACUCCACGCUCUCUUUGGCUUGGGUUGGAAGAACGUUUUUCACAAAGUAAUAAUCCACGGAUUUAUGAACUUAAGAGAGCCAUAUGCAAUCACCAGCAAGAGCAAAAAUCAUUAGUGAUUUAUUUUAAUACUUUGAAAUUUUAUUAGGAUGAAUUGUCCACAUUAACCACUAUUUCUUCUUGCAAGUGUGAAACUUCAUAUGAAUUGCAGGGAUUACUAGAGACUGAAAAGGUGUUUCAAUUCCUAAGGGGUCUCAAUGAUUCAUAUUCUUCGGUACGAAGUCAAAUCUUAGCCAUGGAACCACUUCCAAAUGUUGGAAAAACAUAUUCAAUUAUUCAUCAGGAAGAACGUCAACGACUUCUCCAUGUUUCCAGUCAACCAUCCAUUGAAUCAACAGCCUUGACAGCCAAUAAUAAGACUCAAAUGACCGGCUGUCAAAAUCAUUCACAUCCUAGCCAUUUGCAUGGAGUACAAGAGACACAAGGACGGGGUAGAUCUUUCUGCGAUCAUUGCCAGAAAUAUGGGCAUAUAAAAGCCAAAUGUUACAAAAUUGUUGGCUACCCACCAAACUGGAAACAUUCAAAUCGAUCGCAUGUUGCUGCUCCUACAACCACAAAGCCACAACAACUAGAUGAUCAUCCCAUUCCAACAGACAAGAAUGCAUCAUCUCAGCCUACUAUCCAAAUUCCUGGUCUCACGGCUGAACAAUAUCAACAAUUAUUAUCUAUACUUUCAACAAGUGAGCAACCAUCUACUGCAAACUUAGCUGGUAAAAUCAUUCCUUUUUGCAAUUCUGCUAUUAACUCAUAUAAUAAUUCUUGGAUAAUUGAUAGUGGGGCAUCUGAUCACAUGACCCCUAAUAUUUCUUCCUUUAAAAAUUUUGUGCCCAUGUCUCAUGUCAAACCCGUGAGACUACCAAAUGGCACAACUGUUCCUACAAUAAAAUGUGGAUCCAUUAAAUUAUCCUCCUCUUUGACUUUAGAUAAUGCCUUAUUGGUUCCUCAUUUUAAUUUUAAUCUAUUAUCUGUAAGCAAGCUAACCAAGGAUUUGAACUGUGCUGCUAUAUUUUUUUCCUUCAUUUUGUGUUUUUCAGGACCUUUCAACGAAGAAGCUGAUUGGAAAGGGUGAAGUUUGGGAUGGACUAUAUUAUUAUGAGCUUAUCAAUGGUCAUUCUUCCCUUCCUUCAGUAAUGAACGUUGCAAAGGAACCCAAUUCUAAUCUUUGGCAUUUGCGACUCGGUCACCCUUCUAAAGACCGAAUGCAGCGUUUGUCUUUUAUUUAUGAUAUUGCAUCAUUUAAUUCUUGUUGUGAAAUUUGUCAACUUUCAAAAAACACUAGAAGUUCAUUUCAAUUGAAUAAAAAUCGUUCUGAUAUGCCAUUUCAAUUAAUUUUUUGUGAUAUUUGGGGACCUCAUCGCACAUCUACAUAUACGGGAGCAUAUUAUUUUCUUACUAUUGUUGAUGACCAUACUCGUUGUACUUGGGUUUACCUCAUACGGCACAAGUUUGAAGCUUUUCAAUUAUUAAAAAACUUUUACUUCUUGAUCAAGACACAAUUUCACACACAAAUUAAAAAAAAAAUUUGCAUUAAUCAAGGAAGUGAAUUUUUAUCAAAUCAGAUGCAAUUUUUUUCAUGAGCAUGGCAUCUUGCAUGAACGCACUUGUGUUGAAACACCUCAACAAAAUGGGGUAGCAGAACGCAAGCAUCGACAUAUUUUAGAAGUUGCACGUGCAUUAUGUUUUCAAGCACAUUUACCUUUGUCUUUCUGGGGAGAUUGUGUUUUAGUUGCAACCCAUUUGAUUAAUCGUAUACCCACGCCUAAUCUUGGUGGUCAAUCACCUUAUGAAAUGUUUUUUAAGACUAAACCUCACUAUGAUCGUCUUCGUGUCUUUGGCUGUCUUUGUUAUGCUCAUACCAACAGUGCUAAUCGUCAUAAAUUUGCUCCCCGUGCUACCAAGUGUAUAUUUGUUGGUUACCCAUUUGGGUAUCUCGGAUACAAAGUUUAUGAUAUCAUUAAUAAAAAUACUUUUAUUUCUCGUGAUGUUACUUUUGUGGAAACUGAAUUCCCAUUCAAAACUAUCACCAAUCAACAAGAAAAUAGCAAUCUUUUACCUCUUCCUAUCAUACUUCCUGCCAAUGAAAAUGCACAGCUCCUUCCAACUUCUUCCAAUGAGAAGCCACUCCACCAAGGUACAUCUGAUUCAAUAGUUCUCCCUUCUCCACCUCUUCGACGGUCCCAACGACAGUCUUGUCGUCCAAAUUAUCUUCAGAAUUAUAUUUGCUCUACUGCACUUCACGGUACAUUUGGCAACUCUAUUAGUUUUACUAAUCAUCCACCAUUGGUAAGUUCUUUAUAUCCAUUAUCCAAGUAUUUAUCAUAUGACAAGUUUUCUAGUGAUCAUGUAGCCUUUCUUUCAGCCAUAUCUCACGAUGUUGAACCAACUACAUAUUCUCAAGCCGUUCAACAUGCUUAUUGGCGCAAUGCUAUGGAUAUAGAGAUUAAAGCUUUGGAGCAAAGUAACACUUGGACAAUACAAGAUCUACCCCCCGGCAAGAAACCAAUUGGUUGUAAAUGAGUGUUUAAAAUUAAAAGAAAAGCUGAUGGUUCUAUUGAUAGAUACAAAGCAUGCCUUGUUGCUAAAGGAUACACACAAACUGAAGGUUUGGAUUACCAUGAGACAUUUGCACCUGUUGCAAAACUUGUGACUGUUAGAUGUGUAUUGGCAAUGGCAGUUAUUCGAGGGUGGUUAUUAUUUCAGUUAGAUGUUCAUAAUGCAUUUCUUCAUGGCGACUUGCAUGAGGAAAUUUAUAUGACCUUACCUCCAGGAGUUCGUAAACAGGGGGAGUCUUCUCAAUUUUUUCGGUUAAACAAGUCCCUUUAUGGUCUCAAGCAAGCUUUUCGAAAAUUGGUUUGAAAAAUUCUCAUCCGCUCUUAAACAAAUUGGUUACAUUCAUUCUUAUGCUGAUUCUUGUUUAUUUACUAAUAUGCACGAUUCUCAUUUUACAUUGGUGCUUGUGUAUGUUGAUGAUAUAAUAAUUGCUAGUAACCAUCUUGACACUAUAACUGCAUUGAAGAUAUUUUUACAGGCUCAAUUUUAUAUUAAAGACUUGGGAACUUUGAAAUAUUUUUUAGGAAUUGAAGUGGCUCGUUCAAAGCAAGGGAUUUUCUUAAAUCAAAGGAAAUAUGCUUUAGAUAUACUUCAAGACAGUGGACAAUUAGGCACACGGCCAUCUUCUUUUCCAAUGGAACAAAACUGAAGCUCUCUAACAAUCAAGGAACCCUUUGUCAAAAUCCUGACCACUACUGACGACUCAUAGGAUGUCUCAUCUAUUUGACAAUCACCCGGCCAGAAAUUACAUAUGCUGUGAACAUACUUAGUCAAUUUAUGCACACUCCAAGACGACCACAUUAUGAUGUUGCCCUGCGUGUCUUACGUUACAUCAGAUCUUCUCCCGGUACUGGUAUCCUCUUGUCCUCCACUAGCUCUUUGGAACUCUCUGCCUUCUCAUAUUCAGAUUGGGUAAGUUGCCCCAUGACCCGUCGAUCCACCACUGGAUAUUUUAUCAUGCUCGGCAACAAUCCUAUUUCUUGGAAAACCAAGAAGCAACCAUUUGUAUCACGCUCUUCCGCUGAAGCCGAAUAUCGAGCAAUGGCGACAACAACAUGUGAAUUGGUUUGGUUGAAAACUCUACUUCAUGAUCUUCAUAUGACCCAUCCAAUGCCUAUAACUUUACAUUGUGACAAUCAAGCUGUGCUUCAUAUCGCUGCCAAUCCCAUCUUCCAUGAGCGUACCAAGCACAUAGAAAUAGACUGCCAUCUUGUUCGUGAAAAGCUUCAUGCCAAAAUCAUUUCCUUAACUUAUGUGCCUUCACGACAACAAUUGGCUGACAUUUUUACCAAAGUUCUUGGUAAAGAUCAAUUUCAAUAUCUUAUUGGCAAGUUGGGAGUUAUGGAUCUUCACUUUCCAACUUGAGGGGGAGUAUUAGAACAAGAAUCAAUCGGUCCUUGAUCUUAGCCACUAACUUAGCAUAUUGUAAUAUUCAUUCUCCUUUAUAUUCUUUCCUUUUCUAUUAUUUGACCGUUUGGUACUUGCCUUAGAUGAUUAUAGUAUUUUGGUAUAUAAGGAUCUUGUACACAGCAACAAAUAUAUAUGACCAUUUCCACAAUUCUUUACAGGAAGUAAGGAACAACUUAAUAGAUCCAUUAUUCUUAAAUUAUAAAAAUACAUAAACAACAUAUGUAUAUGAUUUUAGACAAAUCAAGAUAGUUUAAUUCAUACCUUUGUGAGUGAGAUCAAAGGAGGGAUAUUAUCAUAUUACCUCUUAAUGGCUAGAGACUCGUGUUGAUAAUGUGUUAUAUCAUUUAUCAAUUGGGAGUGCAACAAUAUAGCAAGAGAAAUAAAGAAGGCAAAUAAGAGACACAAUGUUUAGAGGGGAAUUUUAUUCAAUCUCAAAUAUAUACAAAUAGGAAGCAAAGGCCUGCUUUUAUAGUGAUACAAGCAUAAAGUAGUAAGCAAUACCUCGUAAUUAUAAGAGAUGACAAUCCUCAGAUUAGGGAGAUAAUGAGAGUUAUAAAAGAUGGAAAGUUACUUGUGAGGAGAUCGAAGAUUGCUUUGAUGAACAUCCACAUAUAUCAUAAUAAUUUCAUAACAUACAUUUACUUUUAAUUUAUUUUUAAGGUUAAUUGGUUAAUAAGCUUCUUGUGUAGUAGAUUGAUUAAUGUGCCCAAGAAUAUUGUUGGAUGCUAUUAUUUUAAAAGCAAAGCAAAAUAAGGCAUAAGUGUCACAUGUUCAAUAGCAGGGAUGUUUUGAGGAAUUUCUUAAAAUAAAAAGACUAAGUAGAUCUUUAGCCCAAAAUAUAGGGAUUAAGCAAGCAUUCAUCCUAUAGAAAAGCAAAGUAAACUAAUGUAACCAUGAUUGAAUAUAAAGUUAACUCUUCUAUGGCAUUAUAGAGAACAAAAGAAGGAAAAAUAUUAUUCAAAUUCAAGAUAAGAAGGUAGUUUAUUAACUGUCUAAAGUUCAAAAUUUUAUUAAUUUCAGACCUUUUUUAAAAUUUACUUAUUUGUUUUUUUGUAACUUAUGUUUGAUUUUUAGAUAUUUAUAUCUGAAUAGAAAAAGUAAGAUUUUUUGACUUUUAUCUAAAUGGAAAAAGAUCUGAAUGAUUAGUAAAUAUUACAUUCCAUAAAUAUCUCUAUAAAAUAACUUAUUUCCUAAUCUAUAAAAUAGAAUCCCCUUUUUUUAUUUUGAUUUACAAGGACGUAAAUGUCAAAGAACUAAGUUUAAGAUGUUUUUUAUUAUAAAAACAAAUAAGAUGCCACUUACAUUCAUAUAUUAAAAAAUGAAAAACAAACAUGUGAUUCAAAUUUUCGUAUUCAAACCCAUUCAAACUUGAAAAAAAUUUAGACACAUUCAAAUUUCAGACAAAAAAGACAAAUACUAGUUCAAUUUUUUUUUUCGCUUUGCAACUGCCCACUGCUAACCAAAUAAAAAAAGAUUUUCAAUUUGGAAUUAUGUUAUCCAACAUAUGAAGACAAUUCUUCCUUUGAACGAAUCUUUAUGAUUGUUUUCUGAACGAAUAUUGCUCUAAAUUAAAAUAUUUUAGAACAAAAAAUAGCUGAUUGCCAAAUGUACAAUAGGUACAAUUUUCUUUUUUCAGCUCUCUUUUGGAAGAGAACUAUGGCGUCCUUUAUAAUUAUUAUUUCUUGAAAGAAUACAAACUUAAAUUACUGGCUUUUUAUUUGUAAAAUCAUAUAAAAUGGACUCUUUUAAGGAAAAUAUCUCAUACCGGAGAUAAUAAUUUCUGGACUAAGAAUAUAAACUUAAAACAGCACUACUAUCAAAUUAUCUUUAAAAGAGUUCCUUGAUCAAAAGAAUUUAUUUAUCAUUUUUCACAGUUUAAAAAAAUAAAAAAAUUACAUAGAAAUAAUUGGAAGAUUUCCUAAAUAAGCAUCAAAUAAAUGCUAAUUUAUUGCAUGAUACUUGGAAGAAACCAUAAAUAAAAAUUAAGGAUUUAUAAUUUUAAAGACAAGUUGGGAGUUUAAAUUUUCUUGCCAUCUUGAGGGAGAAUAAUAAGACCGAAAUAAUAUUGAUGAAACAAAAUAAUCAAUCAAAUAUUUGAUUGUCUUCAUCUUAAUCAGUGAUCAAGAAAAAUUGGUUGUUAAUUAACAUAAAAAUUGAUUGACUCAAUAUUUACUAAUAGAUCAUUAUUCCCAAAUUAUGUUAAUUAUAUAUAUUUCAAAUACUUAUAAGAAUUGAGUUUGCUUACGGUUUAUUAAAUAUAGUCUCUUAAAAGUUUACAUGUGGCCCAUACAAAGCUAACAUUACUCUGUUAUAGCAUUUCGGGCAUCCAACAAGAUCCUCUUCUUCACUUAUUGUUAGAACUAGCGCUAACAAAUUAAUUACUUAAUCACGGCUAAGUUUGGAAUUAAAAUCAAACUAAAUUAUCUAAUUGGUUGAGUUCGGUUUCCGUUUGUAUGGGCUACAUGAAAUUUUUUCUCUCAUCUUCUCUCGUCUGCUAAUCGCAUCUUUCUCUCUUUCGACUCUCUAAUUUCUCUCUUGGAUUUGGUUACCAAGCACAUAAAAUUGAAGCCACCAUCUCGCUCAUAACAAACAACUAGUCGGAUCCAUCAAACUGUUGCUGUCAUCUUGAGCCAUUCAAGUAACUUGAACACAUCAUCUUCUCGUAAAUUCUCUUUCAUUUUCGAAUUAAAGACAAGGUAAGGAUGUAAUCUUGACUUUUGUGUUUUUUGUGAUGACUACAGAAAAUGCUAUAUGAAACAAUUAGGGAUUUAUGUGCUAUAUAAUAAUAAUAAUAAUAAUAACGACAACAACAACAACAACAACAAGUAGUCAUUUAUGAAUUUUGAGUGAAAAAUUAGGGAUUUAUGUGCUUCUUCUUCUUCUUCUUCUUCUUAUUAUUAUUAUUAUUAUUAUUUUCCCUAUAUUAAACAAGUAGUCAUUUAUGAAUUUUGAGUGAAAAAUUCACUCGGCUGUGGCAGAUUUUGUGCCUUACAAGUAGUCGAUUUCACGCAUUCAUCAUCACCAUUACUAUGUUCAUUAUUAUUUGCUAUUUUUUUUUACUUUUUCUGCUGUUAUUGAUUAAAUUGACAUUAAAUUUAUGUCUUGUCCAUUACAAGACUUAACAAUAUAAUCCAGUUGUAACAUGGACACUACAGAUGAUACAAGUGCGCAAGACCUAGUCAGAGAGCGUAGUACACUUUUUGUAAGUAUAAACUAAUUGAUAUUUUUCGAGUUGUUAUGUUAGCAACCAUUUUAAAAACACUUUUGUUUUCGAAUUUUGGUUACGUUGAAGUGAAGGGGAUUGAGUUACCAUUAAAAAUUAAAGUAUUUUGGUCUUUAUAAACAAAGCGCUUUUGUGGAAUAGAUCUAAGAAGAUGCUAAUCUUCUUCAUAAAUUUUUUUUAAAAAAAAUUCUAUUACUCUUGGUGCAACAAAUUUCCUAGUCCCAAAACCUUGUCAUAGAAAAAAAAAGAAAAAAAAAAAGAAAACAGAAAAAGAGUGAAAAUCUCUUGGGUCAACCAAAUUACUCAAAUUCGUAAAAUAAUAUAAUACUUGAACCUUAAAAAUAAAAGCUCUAUAUAUUACUAUAUAAACAGUGAUAAACACAAUUACUAUCUAAGCCCACUCGAAAUUUUAUCAUACAGUCGUAUAUUUAUCACUUUAUGUACGUAUAUUGUAAUUUGGAUACGUUAUUUAAUUAUAUUUAUAUUGUGUAUAUUUACCACAUUAUGUACGUAUAUAAAAUAUAACGUAUAUUGUGUAAACUCUACUAUAAACAAUUAAUAUUUGGUCAUAUUUCUUUUGGCAAAUAACCCCCUGGGAUUUCUUCUUUAUCGCAACAUGAAAUUGAAGAUAUUUAAAAGGUUUUGAAACGUUAUUUUUAUUGAAAGGAGUUGCCAUUUUUAAUUUUGGUUGCAAAUAAUAAUUCCUUGGUGGUUACAAUAUUUUUAAAUAUCCCCAUUAAGGCUGUAGGGGCUACAAAUCUUCAUUCUAGAUCUGUAACAUAUGACUAUGAAUUAUAUAUAAAUGAGCUAUUUUUCUUUAUCUUUGGAUAUAUUAUAUACUCUAUUGUUUGCUCCGAAACUCUACGAUAAACAAUUAAUACUUUUCUUUGCAACUUCGACAUUCAAAGACUUGGUUUAUUCUUCAGGUAAAUCGUGCUUAGGAAGAAGAGCGGCAUGAAGAUAUUUGGGUUGUAUUUUGGAGCUGCGAAAUACGGACAAUAUCCGCCCGUGGGGAGGGCUCUUUGACAUUUGGGUUGUAUUUUGGACAUUUGUGAUUCUCCAUAGUACUGGCCGGAUUCUUCAACAAUAUCCUAAUACUUCUAAAGUCAAAGACAUGCUUCUCUUUCGUUGUAUAUAUUUGCAUCUCUAGGUGAAAUUUGUAAUUGGCUGAGGACAUUUUUAUUUUUAUAGAAUGGAAGAACAGGGACUUUACGUGGAGAAAAAAUUAAUUGUAGUGGGUAUUUUCCAUAGAUAUAGCUAUACAUGUAGCAUGGCGAGCUGAUGACGGGAGUUCAUUUGACGGAAUUAGCCCUUCAAUGGGUUGUCGUUAUAAACCAGAUGGCCAAUAUAAUCAUGCAGCCUAUUUCAGCAAUCUUGUUUAUUAUGAUAUUAAUUUUUAAAAUAUAGUUACAAUCUAGACACAUAAUUUGUGGACCCAUUUUAUCUACCACGUGAUUGGUAUUAUUACUUUAUUUGUCUUUUUAUGUACUAUUUUUGUUCUGUGGACCCAUUCAUGCACCCACGUUUCGAACAUGCAAUUUAACCGUAGCCGUUAAUCUUACCUAAUCAUAUGUGCGAUAAAAAUCUGCCGUCGAUCCGUUAUAUGUAAGUACCAACCAUGCGUUAUUGUUCGAUUUGCUACGUUACAAAAUCUUAUUGAUUAUAGACAUUGUAUAUUUUAAGAAUUUGUUCAGAAAAUAUUACGAUCUAUUAUCAUUAUGAAAUGCCCAUUUCACUGAACUAUCUUUGAUUAUAAAUUUUUUUUAGCAAUUCGAAGUGAAAUGAUAUUUUGAAGACUCAAUUAGACAUUUAGACAGGGCUGCAGUUCUGGCCUCAUUUUGUCCUGAAGCUCAGCCAUGAUCCUGCCAAAGUUUUGGAGCCAUUCUAGCCACAUUUUAUCUUACUAUUAUGCAUCACAUUUACUUUUGCGAUCUUGGAGACUGCGACUGGGUCAAACAUAUCCUCAAGCUCCGCUUUAACCUUACGAAAUUUGUGGACCCAUUUUACCUUCACGUGAUUGGUAUUACUACUUUUGUGGACAAGGCUACGUUGCAGUUGCAGACUCAGCUGAGUACCAACAGCUUUUCCUCUCUCCUGCAACGCGUGGAUGCUCCUUGUUUGUCUUCUUAUCUGCAAUUAUUUUCUCUGUGGACCCAUUCAUGCACCCACGUCUCGAAUAUGCAAUUUAACGGUAGCCGUUAAUCAUACCUAACUAUAUGUACGAUAAAAAUUCCGCCGUCGAUCUGCUAUAUGUAAGUACCAAUCAGGCAUUAGUUUUCUAAUAAGACUUUAUUUCUUUUAUUAGCUCAUAUUCAUCCAUGUGUUUAUCAUUCCUAGCUAAUUCGAUUAUUUAAAAUAACAAUGAUCCAUCAAUAAUUUUAUUCUUCGACCGGUUAAAAUGAUUUUUUUUUAUUAUUAUUUUGAUGGGGAGGUCUCAAUAAAGUUGAAAUAAAUAAAUUUUGGUCUUUGUCUCACACUUACAUAAACAAAGGAAAAAAAUUAUAAAAUUAUAAAAAAAUUAAGAACCAUUGUCAAUUAUGUAAAUUCAAAUAUUUAAACAAUCAAAAUUUCAUCACCUUGAGUUGAGAUUUUUUUUUCUUUCUUUUAUGUGUUAGAAAAUAAACUUUUGAUGGAAUAAUUUUUUUUAAAAAAAUUUUGGGAACUAGAAAAUCAUUUUUUUAAAAAUGACGUUGGGAAUUACAAAUUUUUAUUUCCAAGACUAUCUUUCAUUGGCCAUGUCCAAGACGAAAAAGACUAAAAGGAACUUUUGUAAUUUCCAAAAUUAUUGUAGCAAUGAGACGCGAAAGAAAAGACUGCACUUGAUAAUUGCGGUUAGUUUUCCCCUGUAAUCAAUUAUUGGCAUCGGAUGGGAACCACGUAAUUCGUGUAAUUGAUAUAAAGCAAUCUUUGAUGAAUCGUGACCCACUUAACAAGGAUCAAUACAUUCAGAAAUGAAUUCCACUCACCAAUUGAGAUACUAGUAUUAAUAUUAUAGGGAUUUAUACUGCUCUAAAGACAAUGUUACAGAGAAGCUGCUAUUACUCUCAUGACUCUGAAUCUAAGUGUUCAAUACGAGUCUAAAGACCUAAUUGCUCUGAUACAAGAAAUCAGUCCAGUCUUGUAUUACUAAACUUAUUAGCAGAUUUUUAGCUCCCAGCUAGCACAUGGGUAGCACCUGUAACGCUGCAUCAAUUAAUGAAAUUGAUACAAGAAAUUCUUUUAAUUUCUUGAAUACCGAAAAAGUAAAAUUACCAUUCAAAAUGGAGGAUAAAUAUUUAAAACUGUCUUAAACGCAUCUUAUUUGUUCAUACACACACAAGUUAUUAAACAACCAUGAAUGUUGAACUAAAGUGUCAAACUUAGUUUCUGGUUGUCAAAUUUUCUUCCUAUUGGACAUCUAAAUCGUUUUGCAGUCAGUAACAUAGUCAGAAAAUCAAAUUAGUGGGGUAGAAUGACUGACAUAAAAUAUAAAGAAAAAAAUUUACUGUGUUCUUUAUCUAUUUUUCUAAUAUUUUUAGCAUUCCUCCUUACAUAUGUCUAAUAGCAUGUUUAAUUUGAAGAAAUAAAAUAAGAAGAGAUGUGAGAUAAGGAGAAUGGGAACAAUAAAUAAGGAAAAAAGAGAUAUAAUUAUAUAUUAAAUUAAAUAAUGAAAUUGAGAAUGAUCCUAUUUUUUCCAUCAUUUUUUGAUCACUUACUCUAAGGAACGAGAACUUUAAGGAAAGACAGACAAAUCAUAAAGAUUGAAGAGCAGGAAUUUUUGUUCUCCUUUUUAAAUAAAAAAUUUCAUUUCAAUAGAUUUUUAUUAUUAAAUUAGUCUUUCCCUAAAUCAGAUCAAAUAUAUUAGAUCUUAAAUCUUGUUUUUAAUGAAAUUAAUUACGUUUUGGGCAUUUAAAUUAUGAAAUUGGACAAGAUUUGUGUGUGAUUUUAAAAUAAAUAUGAACUUGAAUUUGAUGCAUUUAAUUAAUCCAAAGAGGCAAAUUUAUAAUUUCAAUUUCUAAAUAAAACAUAUCAUUUGAAUUUUAUCAGUGGUUUCUAAUAAUAACUGCCAGGUCAUUAUAAUAAUUAUAAAUGUAAUAUUUGUUUUUAUAAUUAUACAGUUAUGAUCAAUGCUAUGCCGUAGUGCCGUUCCAACAUAGUCACGCCGUUGAUUUUUUAGACAGACCAAAGGCAACUGCUCCCACUAUUCUCUUAGCGGCUCUGCCACUAAUCGCAUUCUGGCCACAUUUUAUCUUUGCUAUUAUGCACCGUAUUUAUUGUUGCAAUCUGCGAGACUGCUACUAGGAUAUGCAAUUGCUCAAGCUCGCUUUAAUCUUACUUAAUUUGUGGACCCAUUCUGCCUUACACGUGAUUGGCAUCACUACUUUGUUUGUCGUUCUUCUAGCUGUAGUAUUAUUUAUUUUGUGGACCCACUCGUGCACCCACGUUUCGAAUACACAAUUUAACCGCAGCCGCUAAUCUUACCUAAUUUAUGUACGAUAAAAGCUCCGCCGUCGAUCCGUUAUACCUAAGUACCAACCAUGCAUUAUUAUUUGAUUAGCUACGUCACAAAGUCUUUGUUCGAAUAGUUAUCAAAGUUUGUUUGUGUGACUCAUGGAAUCUUUGUUGGCCAAUAAAAGGAUGCAUUUUGCUGUUUAAUAAGGCAAGCUCGAAAUAAAUCAAAUCUUAGUCAUACAAAAAUUCAAAUGAUAUGAGCCAUGAUCUCUUGCCAAGCUUCAGACAAGUUAAAUUAUAAGAGGAUCUUGAUAGGUUAAAUUAUGAACACACAUUUACGCUGUGUACCCAUUCAUGCAUCCCCGUUUCGAUUUUGCAAUUUAACGUAGCCGUUAAUCUUACCUAACCAUCUGUACGAGAAAAACUCCGCCAUUUGGCAGCCAAAGACUUGGUGCAGCCGGUUAACAAACAGUUGCACCAUAUUUUUUAAAAAAUAUAUAUUAAAAAUACAAUAUAAAAAUGAAAAAAUUAAAUAAAAUGUCAAAAAUAUUUUUUUAUAAUAUAAUUAAUAGCAAAAGAUAAAGAAAUUAAAUAAUAUAAUACAAACCCUAUAAUACAAUAUAAUAUAAUUAAAUAAAAUGACAAAAAAUAAAGAAAUUGAAAAUGAAAAAAAUAGUAUUUCAAGUUUAACGUCAGUUGUUGCAUGUCCGACGUCUCGAUUGCAUGUUUGACGUUAGAUGUUGCAUGUGUUGAAUAAAGCCAAAAUAAAGAAUAUUCUCGAAUAUUCUCGUCUGUUUCAUGUUUGACGUUGAAGUUGCGAACUUUACGUGAUAAAUUGCAUAUUUCGCGUGAAGUGUUACAAGUUUCAUGUUUAACGUCCGUUGCUGCAUGUCGGACGUCACGGUUGCAUGUUUGACGUAAUCUGUUGCAUGUCUUGAAUAAAGCCAAAAAAAGAAUAUUCCUAAAUAUUCUUGUCCGUUUCAUGUUUGACGUCGAAGUUGCGAACUUUACGUGAUAAAUUGCAUAUUUCGAGUGAAGUGCUGCAAGUUUUAUGUUUAACGUCAGUUCUUGCAUGUUCGACGGUUGGAUUUCAUGUUUGACGUACGAUAUUGCAUGUUUUGAAUAAAGCCAAAAUAAAGAAUAUUCCUGAAUAUUCUCGUCCGUUUCAUGUUUGACGUCGAAGCUGUAAAUUUUACGUGAUAAGUUGUAUAUUUCACGUGCAGUGUUGCAGGUUGCAUGUUUAACGUUCGUUGUUGCAUGUCCGACGUCCCGCUUGCAUGUUUAACGUUAGAUAUUGCAUGUUUUGGAUAAAGCCAAAAUAAAGAAUAUUCUCGAAUAUUCUGGUCCGUUUCAUGUUUGAUGCCGAAGUUGCAAACUUUACGUGAUAAUUUGUAUAUUUCACGUGCAGUGUUGCAGGUUGCAUGUUUUACGUCCGUUGUUGCAUGUCGGCCGUCCCGGUUUCAUGUUUGACGUUAGAUAUUGCAUGUUUUGGAUAAAGCCAAAAUAAAGAAUAUUCUCGAAUAUUCUCGUCCGUUUCAUGUUUGACGUCGAAGUUGCAAACUUUACGUGAUAAGUUGUAUAUUUCACGUGCAGCGUUGCAGGUUGCAUGUUUAAUGUCUGUUGUUGCAUGUCCGACGUCCCGUUUGCAUGUUUGACGUUAGAUAUUGCAUGUUUUGGAUAAAGCCAAAAUAAAGAAUAUUCUUGAAUAUUCUGGUUCGUUUCAUGUUUGACGCCAAAGUUGUAAACUUUACGUGAUAAGUUGUAUAUUUCACGUGCAGUGUUGCAGGUUGCAUGUUUAACGUCCGUUGUUGCAUGUCCGACGUCCCGCUUGCAUGUUUGACUUUAGAUGUUGCAUGUUUUGGAUAAAGCCAAAAUAAAGAAUAUUCUCGAAUAUUCUCGAAUAUUCUCGUCCGUUUCAUGUUUGACGUCGAAGUUGCAAACUUUACGUGAUAAGUUGUAUAUUUCAUGUGCAGUGUUGCAGGUUGCAUGUUUAACAUCCGUUGUUGCAUGUCGGCCGUCCCGGUUUCAUGUUUGACGUUCGAUGUUGCAUGUUUUGGAUAAAGCCAAAAUAAAUAAUAUUCUCGAAUAUUCUCGUCCGUUUCAUGUUUGACGUCGAAGUUGCAAACCUUACGUGAUAAGUUGUAUAUUUCACGUGCAGUGUUGCAGGUUGCAUGUUUAACGUCCGUUGUUGCAUGUCUGACGUCCGAUGUUGCAUGUUUGGGAUAAAGCAAAAAUAAAGAAUAUUCUCGAAUAUUCUCGUCUGUUUCAUGUUUGACGUCGAAGUUGCAAACUUUAAGUGAUAAGUUGUAUAUUUCACGUACAGUGUUGCAGGUUGCAUGUUUAACAUCCGUUGUUGCAUGUUUGACGUCCAGCUUGCAUGGUUGACGUUAGAUGUUGCAUGUUUUACAUAAAGCCAAAAGAAAGAAUAUUCUCGAAUAUUCUCAUCCAUUUCAUGUUUGACGUCAAAGUUGCAUACUUUACGUGAUAAAUUGCAUAUUUAACGUGACUUCUUGUGGGUUUCAUGUUUUACGUCUAUUGUUGCAUGUUGGACGUCGGGGUUGCAUGUUUGACGUUAGAUGUUGCAUGUCUUGAAUAAAGCCAAAAUAAAUAAUAUUCCUGAAUAUUCUCGCUUGUUUUAUGUUUGACAUCAAAGUUGCAUACUUUACGUGAUAUGUUGCAUGUUUGACGUAAAAUAUUAUAGGUUUCAUGUUUAACGUCAGUUGUUGCAUGUUGGACAUCAGGGUUGCAUGUUUGACGACUAAUGUCACAUGUCUUAAAUAAAGUAAAAAUUUUAAAAAUUUCCCGCCCGUUUCAUUCACACACACCUUUCCCAAAAUUUUAAAAUUUAAAAUGGCGGUUCACCAUUACCUGGAUGUCGGUUCGCCGUGUUUGUCUAGUAACUUUGCAAUUGCUAUUAGUUAACCUUUGCCCUUAACGGAUCUUUAUCUGCAAUCAUAUACCUCUCUGGAUGAUAUUGGUUCACCAUUAUCUAAAAAAAAGUUCACCGUUCUCUUCCAGAAUCGAAUAAGCAAAUACACUUCUUUCUGGAAGAUAUCGGCUAACCGUUAUCAAAUUAACGAUUCAUUGUUAUCUUGUACAAUUAAAUUAACAUGUUUCUGGAAACUGUCGGUUAACUGUUAGCUCAAUAAUGGUUCAUGUCACUGUCCAGAAUUUUAAACACUUUAAAACGGUGUACUAUUUAAAUAUUAAUUAAGAUAAUAUAUUAAUUAAAAAAUUAUGAAAAAAAUACAGUUAAUAGUAACAAAAAUAGAAUUUUAUAAAUUAUAAAUUUGUAAAACAUAAUAGAAAAUAAACAAAUAAUUUGCUAUGGAAUUGGAAUUAUCAAAUCUCUUGCGUUUUAAAAUAUUCAAAGCUCUUGUAAUAUUAUAGAGUUAUAUAUAUAGAGACAUGCGUGCGUGCGUGCAUACAUACACAUGAAUAUUUUGAUCUUAUGUUUGUGGUCAAACCCCAUUAAUUACUCAUUAGAUUCAUGUUAUUUUACUAAACUAGAUUUUAUUAAUAAAGAUACAUUAAAUUGAAUUAAAUUCAACUUAUACCCAAUAAUUAUAUUUGGGAAUUUAUCUAACUUACUAAUUUUUAUUUAACUCAUACACAUUAUAAAUGUGUUCAUUAAAUUACACAUAUAAAUUUAAUUGUCUAACUAUUUUUUACAUGAUUGAUAAAAUGAUGGCUUUAAAAAGAACUUGUAAUUUGAAAAAAAAAUCCAAUUAAUUAUAAUAAAAUUACAUAUCUAUCCAAUUUUUUCCUUAUUUUAGUCUAAUAAUAGUUUGAAAAAGAAUUUGAUAAUUCAAGUGAAAAUCACUAUUCUUAUUUGUUGCAUAAUAAUAUUUUUUAGGUGUAUUUUGUUUGAUUUUUUUUUAAAACAAACUAAUCAUGGUGGAUAUUUUAAAUUACUGAGUCACAAAAAUUCUAAGCUCAAUUGAAAUUUACAAUCGUUUAUCAAUGAAAAAAUGCUAGCAAAACAAAAAAAUAUUGAGGGAUAAAAAGAAAAUAUGGUAGAAAGAAAAAGGCAACAUCACUAUGAUCAUUGUUAUAAGAAAAAUAAAGCGAAAAUCUUCCCAGGGUAAAUCCAUAUGCUAAACAUCCAAAAUUGACGCCGUAGAAUUUCAAUAUCACCAAUAACACCCCCCAAACCUAAAGAUUGCAACAAAUUGAUGGCACAUUUGAGGGCUUAGAACCUAGUAUAUCUUAAAUCAUUUUGGAUUAAAUUAUAUCACAAUUUUUUCAUUUUUUUUAAUUGUGUGAAAAAAAACUACAGUACACUUAUUUCAAAAGAAAUUUGUUAAUGAAAAACAAAAUAAUGAAAAUCAAGAGCACUCAUUUAUAAGAGUAGGCUAUAAAAAGAAAAAAAAAAAUUAUUAUAAGCAUAAUCUCCCAAAAAAUAAAAGCAUCGUCAAAUUGAGUUACAAACUAAUUACAAUUUCAUUCGUAUUCGUAAACCAAGAGGUUGCGCAACAUCAAAAAGUUUCCAGUAAAACACUUAUGCCAGAUAAUUUAUAGAACCAAGCAAUAUCCGGUUGAAUUCUCCCCUGCAAAUAAUUAAAAAUUUCAAGUUAAUUGAUAAGAUAAAAAUAGCCGUUAAUCAUAAUAAGAAGCAACAGCAAAUCACAAUAAGAAGCAACAACAAAUUACACUAAAAAAUAGCAGGAAAAAAGCACCAAAACAACAAAUAUAACCAAGAAACAACAAUAAAAAAAUGCCCAAAAACAGCAGAAAAAGAUGCCCAAAACAGCAAUAAAAAUUACCCUAAAACAACAGUGAAAAAUGCCUAAAAACAACAUAAAUAAAUCCAAAACAAAAGUGAAAAAAUUGCCUAGAAACAAUAGACAAAAGCCCAAAACAACUAGAAGACUACCUAAAACCAGCAGAAAAAAUCUAAGAUAGUAGCAAAAUCUUCCACUGGUAAAGAAAGAUAUGAAAGAAAAGAAAUAAAACUCAUAAAGAGUUAAAGGUAACAUAAUGAAGGCUCAAAUCUGAAGCUCCAUAUGUAAGAACAAACAUCCCUAUACAAACACCCCUAUGCAUGUAAUAGUCAUAUAAAACAUAAUUACAAUUACAGUCCAUCCAGCAACUGUUUGCUUGUUUCAUUAUAAAUGUCUGCAAUAGUCAUAUAAAACAUAAUUAAACACUUAAGCAGAACCCAUAAGAUAAAGUACAAAAAACAUGGUAAAAGAAAUAAAUGUCACAGCAGAGUCCAGAGAGUAAUAUAUCAAAGAGUCCAGCUCAAUCCAACCUCCAUAAAUUUAAAUAUGAUGGUGAAAGGAUCAUAAUUCAAACACACUCCAAAGAGAUGUAAUUUACAUUAGAUAACACAGCUUUUCAUAUUCUGAUUAAGCACAUGCCAAGUUAAGAAUAUAUUUACUUUUGAAAUUAGGAAAAUUACCACACAGUGAAUUCAGGCACACCAAUCAGAGCAGCUAUUGAUCAAGCAAUACUAAAUUGCACCUCAUUAUUUGAAAAUUUACAAGAAUUGCAUAUUUUAAAGGUCUACAUGACCAAAUACAAAGGUUGCACAAUACCUUGAACUCGUUUUAUAAAAGGAUAACUGGCUGCUCCACCCUUUUUGGCAAGGCUGAGUUUAUUUCAAAGUGCCAACAUCAACAAGGUUUUGCCCACUAAUAGCCAGAGAACUCUGACUAAAUUGCAAUGAUACAUAAUCAAUUGAUGACUGAAGUGUGGAUAGAACUGGCACCUCAUCAGGUGGGACAUAUUUGAGAAUCAAUACAGAAAUAUAUAUAGAAAAAAGUGAUAAGAGAAAUAUAAAUACAAUUGAAAGGAACAAAUGGAUACCUCCUUGAUUCCCACACACAGGAGUCCAGUAACAAAAAGUACAAUAAUUGCAGCACAGGGAUCAACAAUAAUGUCAAGCCCAGGAAUUUCUUGAUGAGCCAAAAAGAAAGGAAGAAUGCACAACCUAUAAUCAUUAAUAACAACAACAUAAGAACAUAAACGUUUAAAUUGCAUAGGCAAUUGUAGACCUCCAUCAUAAAAUAUAUGAAUUCAAAUCAAUACAAAGAUGAUUAGUUGUCAAAAAGGUAACUCAUAGAAAAUAAGGGAAAGGAAAAAGUAAACAAGCUAAAUGAACAAACAAUACAAUUAAACCAUUCCAAUUUAGUUGAUAGUGCAAAACACAUAUGACUCAAUAGUAACAACUAAAGUAAAUAAAUAUACAAUCAAAGCUCGAUAAAAUUCACCAGACCAGAUUCGGGUAUAUGCCACGAGGAACAGCAGACCCGCCAAUUGUGUACUCAAGUAUCAGAGCUAGCCAAUCAACCACCUAACACUGCCAAAAUACAACAUCAACUAAGUUAAAUCAAUUUAUUAGACCAAAACAUUAAUAACGAUUACUAUGCCCCAGCUAAUCACUAGUUUAUCCCACUUUAGAAACAAGAUCCAAUUAUAUGAAUCAAUAAACUACAUCUCUAAGAAAUGACUAUUACGAGUUAUACCAGUAUUAAAGGUAACAAGGACUUACCCUUCUCCAACACAUAUGUAUGAAUAAUGAUAGGCACUCCCAGCAGAUGGCCAACGACUUGCAAGCUCAGCAUAGCAAAAGGCUGAAAAAGCAGAAGCUAUUCCAGCUAUAAGGAAACGAAAGGGUGAGUGCCGGUCCUGAAUGCUCUCUAGCAACUGUUCCAACAAGAAUAUAUGCUCCAGCCCCAAGUGUUGAGUCAACACCUAACCAGAGUUUGUACAAGAAAUAAAUAGUAAGAUCCAUCUUAAAAAAGAAAUUCCGGAAUUUAUUAUAUCACUGCCUAAUAAAGAAAUAUUGAUUAUAUGAACUGCAAUCAAAAACGAAAAUUUUUAGAGCAAAACCUAUCACAAUAAAUAAGCAACUAAUCCAAGCUCCAAGACCAUAGUCUACCCAAAACACUUAGCCAUUUAAAGAGAGGGGAGGGGGAAAGCCUAAUAAUCACACACACCCAUCAUGAAAUCUUGAGUUUCCUGACGAGAAUCUAACAAAAUGCUCAAGAACACUUAAAGCCAUAGAAAAAAAAAUAUAAAAUUAAAUUCAAGAUCUGUUUCAUAAGAAUUUAACCAAAAAUCCAAAUUCUUAGAUAUUCAAUAUGGAAAGCAAAAACCCAUAUUCUUAAAAAUUAGAAAUUUAACCAAAAUAAAAAAGAUUUAGAAAGAAAAAUAUCUUUUGUUCAUUACGAGUCAUCUUCCCAUUGAGCUCAUGUAGGAUUUUGAGAGAGAGAGACCAAAUUUGAAAAAUUAGUGCUUUCAGAGAGAAAUGCAAAUUCCAAAAAUAAGAAAUAAGACAAAAUAAAAUAUAAAAAAAAUACCUUUUAUUCAUUCGGCGUUGCUCCCCAGCGAGCUAAUGUACGGCUUCAGGAGAGAAAGAUCAAGUUUGAAAAGUUAGGGCUUUGAAGGAGAAAGCCAAAUUUUAAAAAUUAAAAAUUUAAUAAAAAAGAAUACCUUUAUUCAUUCUGAUUCAUGCCUCCCACUGAGCAAUGUAGGGCCUGAAGAGAGAUAUCAAAUUUGAGAAUGAAAAAAUUAGAGAUAUCAAAUUUGAGAAUGAAAAAAUUAGGGCUUGAACAUAGAUAGGCCAAUUUUGAGAAUGAAAAAUUUAGGGAUUUGAGAGACCGAAUUUGUCAACCAGAGAUUUCAGAGAGAAAAUAUCAUCGUUGAGAGAGCGAUUAGAUUUUAGAAUGGAAAAAUUUUAGGGAUUUGAGAGACGAAUUUGAAAAAAAAAAGGAGGAUUUAAAUAAAUGAUAGGUGUAUUAUUACCUAUCAAUCAUGACAAUAUCUUAAUCUGGUUUAGUUCAACUUAUAAAAUUUCUUGAGAUGUACAAGAGAUCUUUUUGUUUACUUUUGAGUUAAGUAUUUUUUUAAAAAAGGAAAUAAAUCAAUAAAAGUUAUUGUGUGUGUCAACAUAUUGGUUAGAUUAGUCUAUACACGUCAGUUUUAAUUACGAUCUCUCUUCCUAAAUAUUUUAUUUUUUGAAACAAACUCAAAAAUUUAUUGUAUAAAAAACACUAUCACUUUCAAUCAUAUGAUGGUUACAUUUUAGUCAUUUAUUCAUAACAUCCUCCUGAUCCUCCUUUGAGAAUAUUAAAAUGUGUCAUUCUGUAACCCAGAACUAUCAUUUCUUCCACCUCUACGAUAUCUUGUAAUGUUACUUGCAGCUUCAUAAGCCACAGAAACAUCAUCAACCUUUUUUUUUUUAGGAAAGUAAUAAGAAAAAUAAAAGCUGCAUUAUUCUAUUUAUGAUCAAUAGAAGAAUUCAAGUGACUGGAGAAAAUUCAGAUUGUUCAAAAUGGGUUCUCAAACGAGAUAAGCCUCAGGUAGUAGACCUCACCAACAUCAGUACCAGACUCAAUCCAUUGAAUCGGUCUCGUCUUAAGCCUAACAGCUCCCUUCUAAUAUAAUCUAGUGAGAACGGUGAGGUGCUUGGUAUAUCAUACACCAAAAAUCAACGAUGCUUGGACUUUCAAGAAAAAGAGAAAAACAAAUGCAUGCACGGGGAAACGUACUAAUAAAAAGCAAAUCAUAUAAUUUACAAAUUAUUAUAGGCUUGUAGCCAUAAGAUCGAGAGAAACUAAAACAUUUCUUG